RNAcentral lists this long non-coding RNA (86608 nucleotides) under Coffea arabica (coffee). RNAcentral describes it as "long non-coding RNA (CARA_LNC001994)". Lineage: Eukaryota; Viridiplantae; Streptophyta; Magnoliopsida; Gentianales; Rubiaceae. The record is from RNAcentral.
UUUUUUUUUUUUUUUUUUUUUUGUCAAUCGUCAACCCUACUCCUAUUUCUACUCUAUUCUAACCUAACUAGAGGGGAGACCCAACUGGGCCUAUGGGGGGACCGAUGAGGACAGAACCACCACCAGACCAGAUGGGUGCACCACGCACCCAUCUGGAUUUUUUGAAGAACCCCAACUGUGGCAAAUUGGUGGGAGGCAAGGUUCGAACCCUUGCCUCCCACCCCACCAAAGCCUUAAAGGCUUGGUGGUGGCCAUCAGCCUAAGGCUGAUGGUUUAAUAGCCUUUCUAGUUGCUGAAUAUUUUUUUGUUUGUGGGGUUUUGCGGCUACUCAAAUGGGACUGGGAAUCCCACAAUUAUUGUACAGGAAGCGGUUUAGGACAAUCUGACCUACAACAUUAAAGAACUUUCUAGUUGCUGAAUACUUUCCGGAAUGUUGUCUUUUAAGGCUUUAAAUUAAACUAACCAACAAAUGAUAAUCGAGUCACUGCUUCAUGAAUGUCCAGUGUCCUUAUCGUUAAUUGCUAUGGGGUACUUUGCUCAAAUCUGGGACUUAUAAAGUAAUUAGCGAAUUUCAAAAUAUAUUAAUACAACUAUUAGUGAUAAAUAGCUAUGCAAAUUACGUAACAUGUAUAAGAAUUUCCACAAAUAAUUAGUGCUCCUAUUUAAUGGAAGAAACAACAUUGGGAAUCCAAAUAUUAUUUUUCAUUUACUUCUGCAACUGAUACAUAAAAACCUUAUACUCCCUCCGUCCCACUUUGACAGUUCUGGUUCUUUUUUUACACAGUUUAAAAAAAAGUAGUUAAUUUUAUUGGAACAAUCAAUUUAGGUAGCUAUUUUCCUAAAAUACCCUCACAUUAAUUAGAGUACAAUUUUAUGAGAACUUGAAUUGAUGGUAAAAAAGGAAUAAACUCUCAUUAAAUGGGGUAGGUUUAUAGUAAAAACAACUUACAUUGAAUAAGGGCAUUUUAGAAAAAUUAAAAUGCAACUAUAUUCUUCAAUCGGAAAGUGGACUACAAUUUGGGACAGACGAAAAAGGAAAACAGGACUAUCAAAGUGGGACGGAGGGAGUAUUCUUUUAAGUACCAGAAUUCACAGUUAAAACAAAAAAAACAUAGAAUUUAACAUCAUUUUCCACUAAUUGAUUUCACUUUUCAAAGCAAACCCAAAUUCGCCAAGCAUUUGAAAUGGGUGAGAGACCAAUUAUGUAAUCUUGGACUAAUACAAUACAAACCUACUAAUCAUAAUGAACUAUUUAUUGGUCUUGUAGUUUUCCAAUGACAAGUUUUUUCCCCCUGGCUGCCUCAUUAUCUUGCCUCUAUUAAUGUAGAAAUGUCCUUCAAAAGCCUGAGUACAUUAAACUCAUGAACUCAACUUGCUACCAUCCUUUCUUUAACUCAUGAAUGAGAAUUAAGUAUUUUUGGAAACAUUCUCAUCCUCUCCUUUUCUUUCCUUUUUUCAGAAGGUCUUCCUCCUUCGAAGGGAGACUAUCAUGGUCUUCUUUCCAUAGAUUUCGUAUUAUUUUAAUCUUUAAUAAAGUCUUUCCUAAAUUUUCUUUGUGAGAACUCUCUGUGUUUUUAAGGAUUUCUAAUGAGAAUUUUAUGUUUAUCUUAAUGGUUUAUUUCAGAUCUUGUCGCCAAAUUUGAUUUUUUUUUUAAAUUUUGGAUCUUACUCAACAAAUCUCAUCAUCAUUAUGGAAAUUUAAAAUUAUUGAUUAGUAGAUUUGAUGAUUGUGACAUGGACGGAAGGGAAUUACAGUGAUUUAUCUUAUUAGUAGACAACGUCAAAUUUUUCUGUAUAUUUUAGAUCUAUUGAAAAAAAAAUUUAAAAUCUGUUGUAUAUCAGUUAAAUUGCAGAUAUGAUCUAUUAUUUCUAGUACAUAACAAUGUAAAUCAAAUUGCGUUAGACGAUUUUCAACAAUUGAUUAAUAAAAUUUUCUUUUAUUAAAAAACAUACAACCAUUCUUUUUAAUGGACGACAAUUUUGAAGCAUCGAUGUGAACAGGUGACCAUAUUCCUUGAACUUAAACUUCAUAGCCCUACAUCAAAAUCUUACAUAGUGGCUACGAUUUUUGAACCUAUCUAAUUCUAAUGUAGACAUCUUUAAAAUAAAAAAAGUUGCCGUGGGGAAAAUGAUACAAUAGAAUUCGUCGAUGAUCCUUGACCCGCAUAAGGUAGGUAUAACAUGAGUGAUCCAGAGAAGCUUUCGACUUGUCGCAGUCAAACGUUUUGUCAUUCAUUACGAAACUGAUAACAGAUGUUCUCUUGUGGUCUGUAUAUCAGCACAUGGAUGGUGGUGAACACAAAAACUCAAUGCGCAGAUUCAUCGAUCCAAAGACGAAAAAACAUUUUCCGGAUGCCAGAAUUAAACAUGCACCACAACAAAAUUGAAAAAUGAUGAAUUGAAAUUCUUUUUAUAUUAACACGAUAAUUCUUAUUUUACUCCAACUCCUCUUCUACAUUAAGAGGAAAGGAAUAGACCCGAAAGGGUCGACGAGAAUCAGAAAGGACUAAAUCAUCACUAAGCUUGAUGGGUGUCUUUCAAAAAAGUUUGAAUAAAACUGCAAGUACAGGAGAUUUCAUUCCUAGGGAUGGCAAUUGAUCGACGCCCGUCCCACGCCGCAGGGCUAAUGGGACUGGAUGGUAGGGGAAAUUUUUUUCCCCAUUAAAAAAUGGGAUGGGGAGCGGGAGAGUAUACCCCCACUCCAUUCCUUGCUGUGCCACCUGUUAAAAAAAAUUAAAUAUAUAUGUGUGUGUAUAAAAUUGGGGAGCGGGAAAGUAUACCCCCACUCCAUUCCCUGUUGUGCCACCUGUUAAAGAAAAUUAAAUAUAUAUAUAUGUGUGUGUAUAAAAUUAGUUACAAACUCGUAAUAAUGAUAUUAUUAGUUAUAAGUAUUAUAUAAUUUAUAUUAGUAUAUAUAAUAUAAUUGAUAUUAUCAAUUAUAUUAAUAAUUAUACAUGCGUACUAAUAGAAAUUAUUAAUUAGUUAUACUAAAUUUACUGAUAUAUUUAUACUAAAUUCUUAAUUAUACUUAAUACAAUAACACUUUUUUCUCAAAAAAAAAAUCAAUAAUGACUUGUGAUUAUAUUUGUCUCUAAAGUAAAAACUUGAUUACUUUAAUUUUAUUUGUCUCAUAAUGUUGUUGGAUUGUAUUCAAAUAACUUUUAUUUGAUUGUUUUUAUAUAUUUCAAUUGUGAAAUUAUAUGAACAAUGACUUGAUGAUGUGUUGAUAUUUAAAUACUUAAUUUUUACUAAAAUUUGACUACAACAAAAUUAUAUAAUACAUUUUUAUUAAUCUCGCCGAAAAAGUGAAAAGGAAUGGAGACGGGAGGGGAGAUUGGUACCUGCACCCAAGGAUGUCCCUCCCCGUUUGCCAACUCAGCUGAAAUAUCCAGACGUGGGGUGAUAUGAAUACAUUGUAUUGACGGCUCGACUUUGUCAAAUUCAUGGAACCUAUUUGAUACACGUAACGAUAGACCGUACACUUGGAUUCUUUAUUCGAAUUUAAGGGAAUCAUGUCCAACAUUUGUGACCAACCCUUGUCAACUUGUUCUUCAAGGAGAGCAUCCGAGUGCCCACUUUGGACCCUGCUACUUUGUAAUGCACUACCUAGGAUUUUUCACACUAUAUACUACAAUAAUAUCCUUCAUGUUAUUAGUGUUUUAGCAAAUCUAAUUCCCAUUUCGAUUUUCCUUGCCUGUAAAUGUUGCUCGUGGUCUAGCUUGGUUGAUGGAGAACUGGGGUAAGCAUUUUAAAUGGAUGUAGGUUUGGUCAGUCCUAAAAAAAAUCUUGGGAGAAGUUUGUAUUUUAUCACCUUAUGUCUUGAGUAGUAUCAAAGAUGAAAGUCAGUGAAAUAUCUGUUUGAUUGAAAAAGUAUGAUUCAUAUAACGAUGCAUUACUCCAAUCACCUUAUAUCUUGAGUAGUAUUGUAACUUAGGCCUGUUAUCAUCUAAUUAAUCCUGCUUUUCCUGUUGUCCCGCCUACACCAACAAAAGUUAAUCCUCAGAAUAUGCUUCACUACUUGAGUAGAUAUAUGGUCUUACCAUGGAAUUUUGUGCCUUGUUUGGAAGUAAAGUUUUUUACCAAGUUUGUCUGCUACAAGUUUUUUAAAAACUUUAGCUACAGUAACCUCAAAAAUUUUUUCAAAGUUUUUAAACUAUACACUUCAAAAUAUUAAAAAAAAAAUACACUUCAAAAAUUUUUUUAAAAACUUCUACAGUAAAAUUUUAGACAAACAUCCAAAAAACUCACCUUCCAAACGGGCCGUUAAUACAUGUGAUAAUUGUGUCAUUCUGGUAUAACUUUAGAGUGGAAGAAAGUUGCUUCCACCCACAUUUAACUCGGUUCAGGUUGAUUCUGUCUAGUUCGAUCUAAUUAUUGUGAUUCAUAACUUUUGGUGUAAAUUCGUACAACUUUAAUUUAACUGUGAAUUAGUUGUACGAGUGGAUAACAUUCACAGUUAUACCAAAAUUGUACCAUUUUACACCAAAUGUUUUAAAAAUUACAUAAUUGGAUGGAAUUGAACAGAAGUUCAACCGGACAGGCUCCGAAUGGUCGAACCAUAUUUAGCUACCCUUUUCGGAGCUAGCGGCCCCAAUUAUGAACGCAAGUAUUCUUAUUUUGUGAAGGAAGAAUAAGAACAACUAAAAACUUGUAAGAAGGGAAAACAAAGAGAACGAAAUGUGUUACUUUGUGAAAAGGCUCAACUAGGAAGACUGUGAAUUAAAAGUACCUUUAGUGGAUCGGAUGUAUAUUUUUUAUGGAAAAUUUUUUUGAGAUUUUUUAAGGUUAAUCUUUUUUAUACAAUGUUGCUGUAUAAAUUUUUAACACUAGUAGAUUUAUGUCAUACAACAUAAUAUGAAUUCAAAUUUGAAUUUCAAAUCAUGCACAUGUGACAUACAUCCAAAACUGCUAGUGUAAUAAAAUCACCACACCGUCAGUGCAUAAAAAGUUAAUCCAUUUUUUAAAUACAUUUUUUAGCUACCUUCUAAUUUUUUUAUUCAAAUUUUUAUCUAUCAUACAGCAUAUCACAAACAGUAUUAUUAAUAAAUGAAGAAAGACAGUUCAAAAAAAUUGAAAAAAGAUUUUUUGCAAAUAAUCUUCACUCCAAAUACAAUUAGAUAUAUUAAUUUGGCGUAGGCUCACUUCUAUCUAUGUCUCCUCGUUUUUGGACUGUGGUCCAAUUAACGGUCAAAGCCCAUAAAGCCAAUGGGUUUGUUUGGAUUGGGUUUUAUUUCCUCAAAUUUAUUUGCUUACAUCAUCAUUAUAAUUUCCAAUACACCUUUUUACCUUCCCAAUUACCUUUUUAUCUCACAUACAUCACAUCACAAAAAAUGCUACAGUAAAAAUAUCUCUAAUAAUUCACUUCUAUAUGGAUUGGAUUUUUGACGGCUGCUUGGAGAUUAGGCUCUAUCGAGGCGUCGUAGGAGGAAGAUUUCGGGGUAAGGUCAGAUCCAUUUCCGUAACGCUAAAGAAAAAAAUAAAUAAAUAAAAUUCCAGUUUCUAUUAGAAAAACUUUAUCUAGAUUUGGACUAACUGCUUGACAAACCGGCUUAAAAUUCCACUUUGCAUCCUUUAACUUGUAUACUUUUUUCACUUUGCACACCAUUUUAAUUUUGGACACAUUGCAUCCUCAACUAUUGAAUUUGAAUCUACCCUAUUUCAAUCCAAUUGAUAACUCCAUCACCAAAAUUAACAAAAUAAAAGACAUUUUGGUCACAAUGCACAAGUCUUUUUGGUCAAAGGGGGGCAACCUUCCCUCCACAAAAAUUUCAUCAUCUUGUACGGACAUAAAAGUCAUACUCGCUCAUCGUGUGCAUUGUCUUUUAUUCUAUUAAUUUUGAUGAUGGAAUUAUCAAUUGGACCGAAAUGUGAUAAAUCCAAUAGUAAAGGGUGUACUGUGUUCAAAAUUAGAAUUAGAGGUGCAAAGUGAGAAAAAGUGUACAAGUUGGGGUUAAAAAGUGGAAUUAAGCCUAACAAACCUAAUAGUUUGGGAGGUUUGGAUUGGCGUGGUAAGGUGGGAGAAAUUAUCCUAAAUACAAGACUAUCCACUCACCCAAAAAAAAAAAAGUUUGUCUUUAUCCAAUGGAGUACUGCUAAUUGAACAAAUAAGAAUCUCAAAAUAUUAAUUGUAUUUGAUAUAAAACUAGUGAGCUCGAGAACAUUUUUAUUUGUCUACUAGGCUUGCCAAAUUAUUGAUUUGACUGUGAUAAAAUUCUUAGAAAAAUUUUAUCUUAAUUUUAUCAUUAAGAAAUCACAUCAUCAAUAGGAAAAUUCUAUUUAUCUCAUGAUUGAUUAGGUGCAAUGGGGAGUUCUCAGCAUAGAACUUUGUACGAGGCUACUGCUUUAGGUAAUGUCCAUCUGAAGGUGCUGGUAACAUUUCUAAAAUCUCAACGAAGUACUAAUUAAGGGAAAACUAGGAGUUAGAAAAGAAAAAAAAGGUCCUCAAAUCCUUUGAAUCACCUUUCAAAUCCUGGUAUGAAUUUUCCAUGUCAACUGUUACAGUUUUUUCAGGGCAAAGACGCCUCCCUUGUACAGCUUAUCCCCACCUUCUGCUGGUGAGUGGUUGAGAUUCAUAGCUGAUGGCCUUGUCAUAUCAUCCAUCGUUUUGGAAGCCACUACUGUCUCGGCAUUCCAAUACCAGGGUUGAAGGUAAGGUGAAGAAAUAGAUGGAGAAUAUGAAGAGGGAUGUAGCAUUAUUGAUCCCCAGUCUCUUUCUCCAGGCUUUGGUUCCUUUAUCCUCCUCCUGAUUAACAAGCUUCCCACGUCUUCUUUUUUCAUUUCCGAUAUGCUUCUCAAUACUGAUAAGCAGAUAAGAAGUACAAAAACUGCAUCUUCUUCAGGCAGUACCUCCACUGCCGGUAGCUUCCAAUUUAGAAGAGCAGUUGCUUUUCCAGUUGGCAACUCCUCUGAGAACCGGACCAGUGUUAUAAAUCCAUCUUCUUCUUCUUCUUCUUCUUCUACUUCUUCGUCAUCCGUAUCGUUUGGUUUUUUGCAGAUAGAAGAGUCUGAGGCUGAUGAUGACUUCUUGACUUGAUACUGCAUCUUCCUCCCUUUCAGCAACCUUACCUAGAGUACACAGUUGUGAUUUGUUAUUUUGCAUCGUUUGAUAAAUGCAUGUUCUAGAAAAUUGAUCUUCAAAAAUAGGGAAUAAAACUGUAGGCUGUACCAUCCUGUCAGUAGGUUCCUUGUUUCUUAUGACAAAAUUGAAGCCUGAACUGGAUGUUGGAGACCCCCAACGUAUUAAUAGUUCAUUUCCUGUUGAGAUGUUCCAUGAAGCUUGCCACUCCUCAGGUGGUUCUUGAGGUGUUGCAGUGCCUACAACUUUCUCUGCACUAGAUGACAAUUGCAUGUAAAAUAAGCACGGAGGUUGAGAGGGAAACAGCAUAACUGAAGAACCAAAACAGGUGGAAGCAGUGAGAAAGAGCUACAUUAAAGCACAUACCAGGGGCUUUGCCAAUCGAACUAGCAACGUAGGACCAAGAACCUUCACGAAUCUCUAUGAUCCUGUCCUCCCAUUUAACAGCUGAAGGUGUUUCGCCUCCUCUCCUCCAAAAUCCUCCUCCCAUCCUGGAUCAUUCUUAAUCAUUUGAAACUCAGAAUAUUGAAUAAAGCAGACACUAAUAAAUGACUUCUUUCCGAUAGCAAUUACCUCAUUCGGAUGACAAAACACUCUCUUCCUGCAUGGUCAAGGACAGUGCGAGACAACCACCGACCAGCCUGAGGCCGAUACUCAUUCAUUCUAAGUAUUACAUCUGAUAUCAUUGCUCCUGAAUCAUCUGUGACCCGGUCUGGGACGCAUUUCAACAAGUAGGGUGCUUGAACAGGUGGAGUGAUUGAAGCAUCUGCUUUAACUACUUGAUCAAUUUCUUUUGACCAAGUUAGAGAGCGUGCACGCAAUAAAUCAUUCCAAAGAAAUGCAAUGCUACAUUGCAGGUUACUUCCUUUAAAGCAACGGCCACCUCUCUGACGAAGUUCAAGUAUCGCUCCCUUUGUGCCAAACUCACAGUACAGAUGCCAAGCUUUACGCCAUGAUUCUGAUCUAAAGUCUAACAAUGGUUUAUCUAAUUUGAGUUCCUUAUGGCAUCUAGCCAUCCGGAGACGUAGAAAUUCAUUUGACAUCUGUCUCUUCAUUGCUCUUGUCUCUCUACUUAGCUUCACGGAUAUGCAGAACUGCACAGCAGGAUAAUGGAGCAGUAAGGUGACUUUCACAACUUCCAAUACUCCCCAUUGGGCUUCCCCCAACCCAAGAAAGAAAAUCGGAACACAAAGUUCUACGAUAUUUUCUGUAAAACUUAAUUGCACUUAUAUUCUCUAACAUAUCUCAUUACAUCUUAUUCCUAUGCAGUCAUGCAGUUGUUUAUGUUUUAAGCAUUGAAUCAAUCAGAACAAGAUUUAAGUGAACCGAGCAUUCAGCAUCUUCCUAUUGAGUGAAUUGAGUGAACCAUCAACAGCAAAAUAUCAAAAAUCUUUUGGAUUCUUAAUAGCUGAUGAAUGAAAAGAUGCCAAUGGUUUCUGAAAAGCAAGUCAGAAGAACCUAAAAUUAGUUCCUUUGUAGAUGUUACACAAAUUAGAGUGGCAGUUAAUCUCAAAAAUCAAAAUUGUGCCAUUGACAUCCUUCGAAGCCUAAUGUAAGUAGAGAAUCACAAGCUUUUUUCUGCAUUAAAAAGAUCCAAUUUUGGGGUUUCACCAUAAUUAGAUACUUUGAAGAGGGGAUAUGAAGUUCAGCUAGCAAGUUAAUCCUAAGUUAAUUAAAUAAGAAAACAUGAUUGUCCUAAGAGUGUUCCUUUGUAUUUAUUUCAUAUCUCUAAGUUGGAAAGAGCCAACAACUGACACCAAUGGUAAACUACUUGGUACUUCUCUGUAAGACAAAGAAAGGCUUAAUGACAAGGGCUACUGUACUUUCUUAGGCAGAUGAUGCCAAUUGGAACAUGAACAUAUAGUGCAUAAUUUCACAUUUUUGGGGGGGAAGGAAAAAGUGAAGAGAGUAACUGUUAACCUAUUCUGUCUCAAGAUGUACAAGUUGCUAGAAGAUUAGAAGAACUACCACGAGUGAAUACACCUUAAAGGCUAGAUGUACAUGAGACUCAUUCGAAUGGAAUUUCAACAUGUCAAGACGAGUCCAAAGAUUCCUUUUAGAUGUUUGUAAAUUACUACUUAUCAGAGUCAAUAUAUGUCAAGGAGUUGAAUACAGUUACCAUUUGUUGCAUUUAUUGUAGACAUGUUGUAUCAAAUCAUUUCAUCUAAAACUUCUAGACGUUUUACCACUUGAUAAGCAGACAAUUUGCUAAUCUUCAACAACCAAGUUACCCAUGCAAAUUCAGUUUCAGGGUUUAGUCCAGGCACUGAACUAGGAUCUUUUCUGUCCCUAAACCAAAAAUAUGUUUAAUUUGUCAAAGCUGGAAAAUUUUGGGAUCAAGAAGAAAAAUCUAGGUAAAUGGACAACUGCCCUUGCACCAGACAAGAGCAAAUGCAGUGAAUUCUGCUGUGCAGCAUCUGCCCAAAAAAAGUGAGCGGUUCCAACUCCCAAGCCUUCUUGAAUCCCAAGUUGGUCUCACAUGACACAAAAAAUCUUUUAGCUUUUAAAAUAUUGAAUUCUUGAACAGAUAUCUUGACCGUGAUUAAAGACUUAAUGAAAGUUCGAUCAAGCUGGAGCGUGGUGGAUCAUAUGUCACCACUCACAUGUUCUUUAGACCUGACUUGUACAAAUUUGUUGCAUGUACAGGUGAAGGAAUAAUUAAUUAUAGGAGCUAUAUUAAUCUAAUUACAUGUUCAACACUAUUAGACCAACUUGCUAAUUAAAGAAGUACCAACUGAAAGAAUCAACCACCUAAUAUGGACACUGCCAACUAAUAAAUAGAAAAGGUGAUAUAGAAAGGGCCAAUCCUAGACAAAGCACUCAAACAACUUGGUUAAUGUUAAAUCAUGACUCACAGUUUCCUUGAUCUUUCCUUUUUCUUUUUCCAUGUUACAAAGUGCUAAAGCUAAAGGAACUAACCUCAAGCAAGAACCUUGGCACCAAAGACCUGUACUUUGUAUUAACAUCCGUGUCUGAGGCAUCCCAAUAAAAAGGUGGUUUGACAUGAACAGCCCUCCCAAUGGCUGAACCACCAGCUUUCUCAUAUGGUCGAUCAAAUAUUUCCUCCCACAUGUUUUUCGCUUCUUCUAUCGCUCCUUCCUUCACAUUCACAUCAUCCCAUGCUCCAUGUACCUUUUCAAUAUGCCCUUCCAACUCCUUAGUGUCUUGAGCAUAUACUGUAGGAUAGCUCUAACAAAUUGAAUGGCAAAAAUAAAUAAACAAAAUAUGAUAGAUUAUGUGAAGCACAUAUCAAAAUUUGCACGAGUUCACGUAUCUAGAGAGAUUAUUGUUUAGCGUUUAGGGCAUACAUUCUCUUCUUAUCUUAGGACACCCAUUCUUGUAAGCUUAAAGACAAUAUAGCAGGUUUGGGGCUCAACAAACUACUGAUUGAGACUUCUGGUGUUUUGUAGCAGAUGCAAACAGUGAAGUAUAUCGCUGUACAAAAUGUUCUUGUUUUCACUACAUUAUGAAUCUAGACUGCAGUUCAAAUUGUGUGGCUACAUUUUCCAGCCAUGGAUUCACCCGUCAAAAAUUAGUAGGGCUAAUUGACAGGUAGAUUGGUGGGAGCUCCAAUCCUUACCAUACUGUCAGUCUUCCACUUGUGGUACUGGAUGUCGAGAUUUACUUUAGUGAUCAGAACAUUACUUCCAACUCUGAGGCAACAUAAUUGGCCUAUCUUGAGUACUCUUAAGCACAAUAUUAAAGUAAUGUCUACUAACUUUUAGACAAUUAUCAUAAACCAGUAAAUUAAGCCAUCUUCUACUGUUUCUGACCCAGUCAUCAAGAAGUAUGCUUCAUUUGCCCUCAUGCCCCACCACAGACCCCAAACAAGAAAAAAAAACAUACUUAGAAAAGGGCAGGAGGAUGGAAAAGAAAAAGGCUGCAGCACCACUUGUUGCUUGAUAGUGCAAAAACCUAAAAAGUAGGGAUUUUCUGUGGAGGAAGUAUGAGUCAGACUGAAGCAAAGAAAGAAUGUAUAUUUGCUAGAACCAAAAGACCACCAUGAAUUUCAGAAUAGCUCCAUUUCCAUUUGCCAGGCAAACCAUGUAGAUGUAGGUAAACCAGAAAGCUGGGAAAACAAAGAAUGAAAAAUAAAUGUGGUCACCUACCUGAUGAGUCAGCCACAUAAGUAGAACAUCUGAAGGGGGCACCAAUAGAGAGCACCUCUCGGAAAUUCUGUUCAAACUGUACAGAAAGCCUUUAUAGCUUUGUCUUGCUGCAAUCAGAUAGACAACCUCUGACCUGUAUGGCUCAUUAAAUAUGGUGUAUAAAUAUCUCUGCUUGGACACUUGAUCCAGAAGAUCUUCAUUUAUAACACAAGGCUUCUCCAAAUUUAACUCAAAUUCACUCUCAAAAGGCUCGGAUGGAUAUCUGUAUUCCCAAAUUUCUUUGCAUCUGUUCAGUGCAUACUCUUCAUUUUCUUCAUCAAAGAUCGCUGCUUUCCCAAUUAACUUCGAGAACCUUGACUUGCAAUAUUCUCUGUAACUGACCUGGAACGGAAUUCAGAAAAUAAGCAUUAUCGGUAUAAUCUUCGAUGCAACCUUACUUCAAUUUGAUCAAGAAUGAACUUUAUUUAACCCCAAAAAAUUUAACUUGGAUUGAGUACAUAAAUUUGAUGAUUUUAGCUUCAGAACACCUCUGUCUAGUGCAUUUUUUUUCUCGACUGUUAAGAGCAAUAUCAUUCUUUUAGUCUUAACUUGAAUUUCACAAUCACAAGGGGAAAAUUCUGAAUCUUUGUGGUGCAGCUAAAGCCAUUAAAUGAAAAACUUACCGGAUUCAAGGUGUGACAGAACCAAAUCCAUUCAACAUCAAGUGGAGGAAGGACCAUAGGAGGAGUUGAACCGACUGCGAGAUCAGAGAUGAGAGGCAUCCAAAGCUGAUCAUAUCUAAACAUUUAAACCAUCAAAAUUUCCAUCAGACGAUAAUUUUUUGCUAAACUAAACCACACCCAGAUGAGUUUAGCUGCUAAUAAAUCAUCCCAAAUCAAGAAAUCAGUACCUUCUGAUGGAUUCAAGAAUGCUGGGUUUCUGGUGAAGCCAGUCAGAGUCAUCCACCAGUCUCAAGAACCCAAGAUUAUGCCUUGCAGCAGCUACAAGAUCCACACUAAGUUUCACAGUUUCCUCCUCCGAUAUCUGACUUAGGCUCCUGAUUGAUCCAACAUCGUCUGAAACUGACAUUGCUUACCAAAUUCUUCACAUGCCUUCGGACACAGCACCCUAUUUGUUCAACUCAACAAAUCCAUGACAUCUUGAAAAGCAUGCUGCAUGAGCGCACACAAAAGUAGUAAAAGAACUCGGCACGUGGUACAUUUACAUUUGAUUCAACUAUAGAUUGUACUACUGAUGGGACCAGAAAAGACAAGACCAUUCAUUGGUUCCAAGAUGUAGUCAAUUGGGUCAUCAAGGGUUGUAAAUUUCAAUUUGUUCCUAGUAAUGUGCAAUGUGGAGUGCAAAUUUCAUAAUAGUAGUAUAAGCUUAUUCUUUGUAACACUGUUCUUUCCUUCUUUUUUUUUUUUUUUUGGUAUGUGGAAACAAAAAAGAAGAUGAAAAUAGUGGAGGCAUGUAUCAACGAAAAAAUCCCAUUAUAUUAUAUGAUUGCAUGAUGCAAUGUUUUAAUUAAAUUAUCUAGUAGCAGUUGAGAAUUUGCCAUGGACAUUAACGUUAGAAUUGAUUGAAUCAUGUUAAAAUUGCAACAAAUCUGUUAAAUUAACAUUAUCCCCAUUCUUGUGUGUUGUAUUUGUAGUAUUAUAUGAUGCAUAAUUUCGGUGGAAUGUUCAUCCGAUUCAACAAAGAAAUAACAGGUGUUGCAUCCUCCAUCAACGUUAUGAGAUGAUAAAUGUAUUUUUGUACAAUGAUGAGUCUUCGGUAAAGUAUAUGGUUGCUUUUCUUGACCUACUCUCUAUGGUGAGGUGUUCCCUUUUCAAUUGAAUCUCCCAUUCAACGUGGCAUAAAAAAUUAGAUAUUAAAACUACUAGUUGCAAAUGACGUUAAAUGGAAUAAUUGACGAGGCAAUACAUACAAUAAAGGCAAUAUUCUCAUUUUACAUUAAUUAGUGUACUCUUAAUGUGUACUACAAAAAAAAUGAUGAAAAGGGGGCAUUAUAACUUAAAAAAUGAUGAAAAAUGGGUAUUUUAACUUUUUGUUUAAACCUUCCACCCCAAAUGCCAGGCAUAAAAUAUAGGAUUGGAGUUUUGAACUUGAUAACAAGAAAAAUUUUAAGAGCCAUUUUCUGACCACUUAACCGGUCCUAAUGGUUGGGUUAUCGUAACAUUUGUUAUUUUUAUAUUUGGAUUUUUCUAACGAGUGCCCUUAAGGCACUUGUUAACACAUCUAGUAUUCAUCUAAUUUAUCAUAUAUAUAUAUAUACAUAUAGUAACAAUUAUUAUUCUAUCUUGCAUUUAUAUAAUUUCUUUAUUUAAUAUUGUCUACCCUUCCUUGUAUUUAUUUAUUUUUUCUAAUUAAUUUUAUAUUUUCAAAAAUAUAAUACUUGAAAUAUAUCUUAACGAGCGUACUAUGGGCACUCGUUAGACAAACCAUUAUAGGUUUAGUGCUAUUGAAUUGUAAUAGUUGUCAUGUUCACUAUUUGUGAAUCAGUUGUUCAUUAAUUGUAUUACUCCAAUUAUUAUGGGUUUCUUGUAAUCUUAUUAAAAGAAUAGAAAUGUUAUAUUAAGCGCCAUACGACUUAAAUGACAGAAACAAACUAAAUAAUGGUCCAUUUUCUUGAUUUUAGGGAUUUCUUUAUUUAUAUCUAUCGUUUAGGAAUGUCGUGAUUUUCAAUAUCUUUUUGUAAAUGGACCAAAAAAACAACUUUGUCUUUUUGAUAAAUGAACACUUCUUAAGAAUUUACUAGGCUAAUUUGAUAUUUAGUAGGUCCCUUCUUCAAAUCAGGCCAAAUGAAUUAUUCACCAGAAGUUAAGCAAAGACAGGAUGAAGAAUGUAGAAACUAGGCUAACGAGUAGAUGUGGGACAAUGCAGCAAAAAACUGAUACAAGAAGAAUACACAGAGUUCUAAAAUGAAUCGAUUGAUUGGUCCCAUCCUUUUCACUUUCGCUAUUGCACCACUAGGCACAAGGUAUCAAACCACUACUGGUAAAUCUAUGAUGAUGGGCCAAAUUUGGGGUGACGUGUGAUCAUGAUUUUUGCGUCCAAAUCUCUACCUCAUCCUGCGGCUCUUCGCUUCUUUCCGCUUAGCUUUUGGUUGAAAGUGUCCAUCUUUCAUUGCAUCAUGUCAUAAGAAAAGUUAGGUUAGCAAACUAGCAACCUAAUUUAGAUUUUCCAUAUAAAUUUUUUUUGAAAAGCAUAUAGAUUGACCUUAUAGAAUAUAAGAACAUUCCGCAUCAUAUAGAUUUUCCAAUGUUUUGAGCUUGGGUUGGGUUAAGCAGCUGUUUGAAAAUCCGUUAUUUUCUGUCAGCCAAAAAAGUAUGUAAAUACCUAAUUUAGAGGUGGGUUGGAUUAGAUGCUACGAUGGAAGGAAUUGAAACAAAAAUAAAUUUUAAAUAUUUAACUUACGGUGCAAUUGGGAGGAGGGUUGGGUUGAGUAGUACGGGAGGAGGAGGGAGUGUAAGUGAGAGUUUUUGGAUUCAAGACCCUCCACUUGCAUUUGAAGAAAGAAAAUCUUGUGACGCAAUUAAGUUCAUUAUCAUAGAAAACAAAUGUUCCCUAAAGGUCUACAACUUCCAUCAAUCCUUCUUUAUAUCCUAUUGGCACAAAAAUUUUUUUUUUUUUUGACGAGGGAUUAUUUGGACAGAAAUUUAGACUUUAUAUGUUUGGGGCUUUUGGGCACUUUAUUAACUGAAUCAUAAUACAAAAAUGGACUAUUAUUAGGGGUGGCAAUUUCUGACACGACCCGAAAACACGACACGAACCUAACACGAAAUUAAUGGGUUUGGGUUGAAGUUUUGGGGGUUCGGGUCAGAAUCGGGUCGAACCCGAUGAACCCGAAAAGAAAACAGGUCGAUUUCGGAUCAACCGGUGGUGACCUGAUAUGACCCGAUAUGACCCGUUUACAAAUUAAAAAUAAUUUAAUAAACAUAAAAAUUAUUUUAUCUAAGUAAACUAAAUCAUUCUUUUUUUUUCAAAAGCAUUAAUUACUUAAUUCUAAAUGAAUUUAUUUACCUUGUGUGAAGUUAAAAUUAUUAUAUUUGGACAAAUAAUAUAAUUCGUUUUAAUUUAUUUUAUAUUUGAUUUGGGAUAAAACAGUUUUACGAUGUUUAAUUUAUUUUGGAUUUGAUUUGAAAUUAUUUAUUUAAAUUUUUAUUACUUGAUGAUGUAAUUAAUUUUGUGAGAAAUUGAUUUUAUUAGAAUUUACAGUGAUAAAUUAAUAAAUUAAAAUUAAUUUUCGGAUCAUUUUGAAUCGACCCGCCAACCCAAAAUUUUCGAAUUCGUGUCAGAUAUACUGACCCGUCACGGGUUGACGGGUCGAGUUCGAGUCAACAGAUUUUUUGGCGGGUCGGAUCAACCUGAUUGGUCCCGAAUUGCCACCCCUAACUAUUAUAAUGUCAAAUUCGACAGUGUAGAAAAUUAAUUGUUAUUUGUCACGUAAGUACUUAUCAUCACAAAAUACAAGUACUUUCUUUAGUGAUAACAAUUUCACAUGCAGUAAGGUAACCUCAUCGUACUCAAGAAUUGUUUACAGCUUAUAGGAGUAUUAUAUAACAAUAAACGCAGUGAUUAAUUUAAUAACUCUAUGUUGUUGUAUGAAUCCACAUUAAUAUUUGGAGAUGAUAAAAUACACAUAAUCAAUCAGUAUUUCAUCAAUUCAGACGAGAACAUUCAUUAUUGUCCAAGUUCAAGUGAAAAUUUUGGAACUGAUUCCCUCCUGCCUUAUGACAGAAAAUGGAUAUUCAAUGAUAGAGAAGUAAUAAUUCAUUGAACUUCAAGAAGAAAACGUCAAGGCCGUUGCCACAACUUAAAACUUUUUUUUUUUUUUUCAGACAAUGCCUGUUUAAGAUUGAUUUUGCGUAUACCAAAAAGGGAAUUCAAUGAUGAAGAAGUAAUAAUUCAUUGAACUUGAAGGAGAAAACGCUAAGUACCUGGAGUAUUAGAGAUUGUGAUUCCAUAACUAAAUUGACAUCUUAACAAAGUGCCUUAAGUAACCAACUAAACUAUCUCUAGGUCGAGUGAUUGAAUUCCAGAAGUAGUUAGCCAAGUUCUCUUUGGGUGUCAAUCAAAGAAUUGAAUCCUUUGACUUUGCACUCGUCUAAUCCAAUAAUGAUUAUAUCCUCGUGACCUAAGUUGGUUCAAUUCCUAUCAAUUCCCCGACCGUCUGAUCUAAUAAUGAUUGUAUCCUCGUGACCUAAGUUGGUUCAGUGACCUAAGUUGGUUCAAUUCCUAUCAAUUCCCCGACCGUCUGAUCCAAUAAUGAUUAUAUCCUCGUUGGUUCAAUUCCUAUCAAUUACCCGACCACCUAAAUGAUUCUAUUCAUCGCUCCCUUCCGGUCGAUUCCCUUGACCGAAUUAAGACCUCCCUUAAAUAGGAGGUUGGUGUAAGAGAAACACAAGAGUAGUAUUGAGCCCUCCCUUAGAUACACUAACAUAGGAGUAACAGUAGGAAUAAUGUAGCUAAAAAAAAAAAUCAGCCUUGAGACCCGUGGAUUUCAUUAUGUUGUUUUUCCCCACUCUUGGUUUUUGUUCUCUCUCUUUCUUUGCUGAUCAAUUUAAGAAUGCUAAUUUCAUCAAUUAAACAAGAUAGAAACCAGGUUCAACCAGACGCCCUAGCAAUCAAAGGAAUUAUUCUUUCUUAUGGAACUCUAAAGGUUGUCACUCUAGAAGGCUGAUAUUGACAGAGAGAUUUCCAGAGCAUCUUUUGACCUUUUGCCCCAUCAAAGGUUAACUCAACUUUACACUAAAUGGAGAAUACCAAGUCAAUACGCAGGUAAAAGAGCAGAAUUGGUACUGGAAGAUAUCAUUGUACACCAAUUUUCCUUAUUUCCCUCUGAUCAAUUAUCAUGCAUUCAAGAAAAUCAAGUGUCAAACCCAUCAUCUUAUCCAUGUUUCAAGCAAAAUUGGACCCCAAAGAAAAAAAAAAGUGAAACAGAAAGUAAACAAAAGGGCUAUUCCUGUUCCCUCAGAAAAUGAUAAUUUACAAAUUUCAAUCAAAAAAUGAUUCAGAAUUAGCAUGGUUUGGAUAAGAACAUCACAGGGAACAAAAGCCCAGUUGUUUAGACUGCAAUUCAUCAAAACAGAAAAUCCCAGAUCCUAGGGCAACCUGGAAAAUAAAAAGAAGUUAAAACAAAGGAUUGAAGAAGCUCAAGCUCAGACAGAUGUUGGAAAAAAGUCCAUUCCUGGACCUUCUAGUUGGAAGCCAGAAGGCCUCAUAAUGAGCUGGGAUUAACAUUUAUCAUCAUAGCAUUCUUCCAUAUAUAUAUAUAAAAAAAAAAAAAUAAGCAAAGCCUCAGUGGAGGAACAUAGAACAAAGGCAGAAACAGAAAAAAGAAAGAAGAAAAAGCUUCAGGUAAAGCACAGAUGCAUUCGUUGGUGGUUCUAUAAACAGAAGCUGGAGAAGAAAACGGAGGGCAGGAGUGGAGAGCUGGAAGGGGAUGGCGAAGGAUUUUAUAUUUGAGAAGACAAAAGUUUAGUAGGGAUUUAGGGUUUUGGUGUGGGCUUGUGGGUGGUUGCCGUCUGCUAACCUUCAACAGAAGUACUGAAAAUCCUCUGGGCCCAAAUACGUCUCCCUGUGUUCUGGGCUCAGUCUCAGUACCCGCUAUAUUGGUGGGCCAUGUAAGGAUCUUUACUUCUAUGCGGCUUUAACACCCAAUUUAAUGGGCAGAUACAUUAGUCUGGUGGUUGUGAAGAUUCUGAUUCAACUUUUUAAAUCAUCUUUUUUUUUUUUCUUUUUUUCUUUGUAAGAUUUGGAGUCUCUGUUUGCACUAAAAAGAAAGAGAGAAGAAAAUGUAAACUAUUUGAGUUGAAUUUUGAUAAUACUACUAAAGUUGUUAAGCUUUCAACGAUUGUGUUUAAGCUCAAUAUGAUGAUGGUUUUAUAGAGCUUGAGCACAAUUUGUAUAAAUUUGAGUGAGACAACUCUACUUCAAAUUUGAACUCGAGCUAAAUGAAGGCGGAAAUUUUGCCGGGGGAAUUUGAUCAAACAUAAGGUUGAUGAAGCAAAUUUAACGUCAUUUACUAUUAUUUCUUUAGAGCUUAGGCAAAAUAUUUCAAACAAGAAUUAACACAAAAGAUAAAAUAGCUAAAAAGGAACAUGAAACAUGGUAGUACUAGAAAGCAGUUGCUUAAGAGCUAGCAUCUUUUAGCGUCUCCUUAUCAAAGCAUCAGAAAAGGGAAUGUAGUGCAAUCAAAGCCCAGCAGCCAAACAGGGCUUGAUUCAAACUCCUUCCACAUCCCAAACUGAGAAGAAAGACGCACAUAAAAUAGGCGAUUAGCAAUUUUUAAGGUGACCACGACGACGAUGAUGUUGAAACGAAGAGGUUUGGGCGCUGCUUUUUCUAUUUCUCCAUACGAGAAAGCAUCAGCUCCAUCAGAAUCAGGUACUUCUGCUGCUGCUGCUACUGCUGAAUUAGCUUUUCGUUCUGGUUCUGCUGCUGCUGUUAAGGAAAAAUACCCAUCUUGGGGUUUGAGGAAUCAGAUUAAUAAUGACAUCAAUAAUCUGGAAGAUGCACUGAGAUUGUACGAUGAUAUGGUUCGAACGAGGCCUCUGAAUAAUGUUAUUCCCUUGAAUCAACUGCUAAGCCGUUUAAUUAAGCUGAAGCAUUAUUCCUCUGCUAUUUCCCUUUUCAAAGAUAUGUGGGCUCUGGGCAUUCCGGUCAACGAAUACAUCCUUACCACAGUAGUCACUUGUUACUGCCUCGUGGGUCGAGUGGAUUUAGGGUUUUGUACAUUAGGUGCUUUCUUCAAGCGUGGUGUUGUCCCUAAUGUCGCCACCUUUGCCAUUUUACUCAAUGGACUGUUUCGAUGGGAUAGAGUUUCCCAAGCACAAGAAUUGUUCAAGAAGAUCAUCUAUCGAAAAUUGUGUGAACCGGAUGAGAAAAUGUAUGGAGUUAUAAUCGAUGGGCUCUGCAAGGCGGGGAACACCAGCAUGGCUAUUGAGUUUCUUGAAGUUUAUGCAAAAACGAAAAGUUAAGCCGAACGCUGUUAUUUACAGCUCCAUCAUUCACAGCUUGUGCAAGGAUAACAUGGUAGAUAAAGCUUUUGACCUUUUACAUGAGAUGGUGGAGAAGGGCAUUGCCCCGAAUAUCGUUACUUCCAACUGCUUGAUCCAUGGUCUUUGCAAUUUAGGUCAAUGGAAAGAGGUUGCUAGGUUACUGACUGAGAUGCAGGAUUUUCAUUGGAUGUUUUUACUUUUAGUGCUGUGAUUGAUGCUCUAUGCAAGGAUGGAGAGAUAGAAGCUGCAGAAGAUGUAUUUCAGACCAUGAUUCAGCGAGGUGAAAGACCUAACAACGUAACAUAUGCUGCUCUGAUGGACGGAUACUGUUUGCAGGGCCACAUGGAUGAAGCAAUGAGAGUUUUUAACACCAUGGUUGCCAACGGAGUUGUUCCCGAUAACUUCAUAUAUAAUAUACUGAUGAAUGGAUAUUUCAAGAAGAUGAGAGCAGAUGAUGCGCUACAUCUCCUUAAAGACAUGCAGUGUAAAGGUUUAACACUUGACACUCCUACGUACGAUACAAUCUUGAAGGGAUUGUUUACGGUGGGGAGGUCUGUUGCUGCAUGAAAAGUGUUUGAUGAGAUGCAAACGACUAACAUAAUGUCUGGCUUCUACACUUACUGUGUGAUGUUGGAUGGAUUAUGCAAGGGUGGACACAUUGAGGAAGCACUGGAUUUGUUGCACAAGGUGGAAGUUGAAAGAGCGGAUCUCAGACAUGUAUGUAUGUACAACAUCAUUCUUCAUGGACUGUGUAAGAUUGGGAGGCUAGAUAGUGCUUGAGAUCUUUUCGAGAGCCUGUCUCUUAAAGGACUGGAUCCAGAUGUUGCAACAUAUAAUACCAUGAUACAAGGGCUCUGCUCAAAAGGUUUGCUAAAGGAAGCUAAGGAGUUGGUUGUAAACAUGGAAGAGAAUGGUUGCUCGGCAAAUAGGAUCACGUACAAUGUUAUCGUCCGAGGAUUUCUUUUGGGAGGUAAAUAUGAUGAUGCACCGGUGUAUCUUGAAGAAAUGGAUAGGAGGGGAUUCCCGGUGCAUUCUUAUACUUUUUCCAUUCUAUUAAAUUCAUUAAGAGAGAGUGAAACUGAUCCUUAUCUUCUCAAGAUAAUCCAGAAGUUUGUUCCAAAUAGAAAGGUUUGAGUCAUAAAUAUAGAGGAGGCUUGACUAUGGGCAGCAUGUUUUCCCUAGUCUUUCUCCUAAACAAUUGAAUCAUGAUCGUGCAACAUAUAACACGGCAACAAAUGGCUCUUGUUUGAGGGUUUGCUGAAGAUGCUAAAAAGUUUGUUUAGAGAUUGAGAGAGAAUGGUUGUGCACCAAAGGUAUUGUCCACCAACUCUUUGAGGUUAGUAAAUAUGAUGAUGCAGGGGUAUGUUAUGAUGAAAAUGCAUAGAAGAGGAUUCUGAUUGCUUUGUCAACUUUGUACAUUUUGCUUUGGAUAAUUGAGAAGUCUGAUAUUUCUCAACUACGAGAUUUCAGAGUCAUAUAAAUGCAGGAUAAAUAUGAUGGUGCAGGGGUAUGUUGUGAUGAAAUGCAUGGGAGAGGAUUGUGACUGCUUUUGUCUACUUUGUAGGCUUUGCUUCGUUCAAUUAAAGAGGAUGAAAGUGAUCUUUCUCUUGUUUUGGAUACUUGAGGAGUCUGAUUUUCUUAACUACAAGAUUUCAGAGUCAUAAAUGCAGGACUAUAUUGGAUUGCUGGAUAUCAAAGUGCUCUUCUGCUCCUAAGAUUUAAUUUUGUUGGAAGGUACAUGCUGCAGAUUCACAAUUACUUUUGAUCAGAAUAUAGGUUUAAGAUUGAAUACAACUAAUCCCUUGAGGAGCACUUUUGGGCAUAUUCAGGGAAGUCUGAGAUAUUAUAACCCUUGAAUUAAUUAAAUUAUCAAAUCGUGUUUGAACUUGUAGAUAAUUGACGCAUUAAAGCUUAAUAGGAGGCUCAAAUAACAGUUUCAGUCAAUACAUCUUAACAUAUGUUCUUUUCAUUAUACAAGAAUAGCUAUGCAUUAUUGAUAAAAUAGUAUUAGAAAUAGAAAAAAUAUACACAUGAAUCAAUCUCAGAACUUACAUUUUAAACCCACAAAAGAUUUAGAUCGAGUCAGACGGUUUAAAAACUAGUGGAUUUGUUUAUAACCCUACUCAUGGGUUCAGCAGGCAUAAAAAGAUUCAUGCAUUUAUCUUCCAGAUAUUAUAAAAAAAAAAAAAAAAAUGGUGGGAUGCAUUUAAUUUUUUUCCCCAAGGAGCCUCAACAUCAUCUGGUUCUCGGAUCUCAAUCUGCUGCUUAAUUUCAGUAUUAAAAAGAAUUAUGAAUUGACCGCUUUGUGUAUUAAAAACUAGAGUACUUAAAGUACAUUUGUAGCCCAAAUACUCCACUGCUUUGUAAUGAAUACACACACAAAUCAUAUUGUUAACUUGCAAGGCUUAGAGUUAGUAGAAGAAAAUAACCUGUCUCCUGAUUUGAUUCUUGAACUCCUUCUUUCCUUCUUUCUUUUCGCAGGGAAAAUGAUUAAAAAGGAAUGGGUUCGGAUGAGAGCAUGUGCUUUAGGCUUUCUUCAACUUACCUGAAUCCGGAUGGAAAUCUUACUUAAGCUGGCUGUCUUCUUUUCCUUCAUCGAAGUCCUCAUGGUUCAACCUGCAAAGAGAAUUUAGUUUGACGGGCUAAACAUCAACAUAUCUGUGUAUAACAUAAUAGAAUAUUUUCCAAAACUAACAAUACACAGAGACAGAGAAGAGCCUCCAUCAGCAAUUUGGAACAUAUAUGCAUGACUUUUAUCCCUUCCAAUUUGGAACAGGUUUCAGAAUCAUCUUGGAGAAGAGAUGGAUCAUUUUCACUCUAAAUGCAGUGGGAAUCCUCUCUUUAUCCCUUCCAUUUUGGGUGCAUAACUAGUUCCACGCUCAUAAUGUUUUGGUAUCCAAAUGUUCUCUUUUUGAAAAAAUAAUACAACGGCCCCUUUUGAGAUGGGAUGUACGUGAGAUGAAAGGUAGCUCAAAAACAUAUCAAGGGAAUAUAUUCCCGAAAAAUUUUUUCUGAAGACUCGCAAUCCAAAAGAUAUAGAGAGAUAGGGACAUCACACCCUAGUGCCCCAUUGAAAUCAUCAGUUUAACGAGCCAGCUCCCCAAAAGUUCGCAUCUGGUGAACAUUCAUCCUUCCAGAGUGGACCUGUAAUAUCAAUUCAUCAAGGAAAAAUCAAUUAACAAUUAUUACUAAAUCCAAAAAUUGUAAGGAUAAUGGUGGAGUUUGAUGAUUAAGCAGGAACAAAAAAAUAAUCUCAAUUAGCGAGUACACCAGCAGGAUCGGGAUCCCUGGUUCCUUCAGAUGGAUGGGGGACUAAAUUGCUGAUCAAGUUGACUUGAUCUUAUCAAGGCAGGGUCUAGAAUGAAGUGCAAUUAAAAUGAAGCUAUUUGACAAGCAAGUUCCAGCUCAAGAAGCUUUGCCAUACAAAAGGACCCGGAAAGAAAUCUCAAAAUGAAAAACAACCUCAUGAUCAGCAUUUUAGAGCCAAAAAAAUGUGUUUUUUUCCUCUUUUUUUUUUUUUUUUGGUUCAAUCACAAAAUGAUACAAUUCACUUCAGGUUGCCAUCCUGUUUCCUAGUAAAAAGUGAUUAAAAAAAUUCAAUUGCAAUUAGAUUACUUUUCGCACGUCUCUCCCUAAUUCCCCUGUGAAUUGCUCACGUUGAAAGUCAGUUUCAAGGAACUGAAAAGAUCUGUGCAACACUGUAUGCAAACUCUGGCAACAGGACCUAUUUUUUGUUUCAAAACGUUAAUUUAAAACCUGAUAAGUAGAACCUGCAGGCUGCAAAACCUUUGUUUCAGAUGUUAAAGUCUCAUAAAAUGUGGCGAGAUAUCUUGCAAUGGCAGUCAGCAGUCUAUGACAAGAAUAAACUUCUUAAUGACUUCUACGCAAAGUCGGUUUGCUAAUCCUUAAAAAACAACUUAAUAAACAAGUUUAAUGCACCAGUGUGAGUAUAGCAUGCUCCAGCCGCUAAGUUGCUCAAAAAUUGUAGAACAUAAACAUUCUUAAUUCUUCAAAACAACUUUAAGCUGAGUUAACAUUUACUGAAAGUUUUAACUCAAAGACUCCAAGAAGAGCAAAGAGUAAUACAAAAGGCCAUGAGACAGAAAAUUAUCCAUUCCAAGGUAAAACUCAAGAAAAAAAAACACUAAUUAUAAUAAAAAUAAAUUCACUGCAGGAUAACCACAGAAGAGUACUUUCAGUUUAUUGGCCAACAAAAGGAGCCAAGGAUCACAAUAUUAAGGUUGGGGUUCCUGAAUUAUAUAUAUAUAUAUAUAUAAUAUUUCCAACAUUUACCUGAUGAACACCUAUUUACAAAACCUAUUCCAGGAGAAUGAAGGCUCAUUUCCUAUCCUUUUAGGGCAUCUGAUUCAUUCCCCUUAACCGCAAGUCCAGUGUAAUGCUCAAUGCCACGACAACGAAAAAGUGACCACCUACCAGAAGUAGCAUUUUGGACAAACCAAGAAUAGCGUUGAUAUGCCAAGCAAAUGGCAAAAACAUGUAUCCACUCCAACUAAGAGAGUCUAAAUAAACCUUCAAAGCAUUAACCUGAAAUCAAUGACAUCAAACUUCUACUGAAGUGCCCAGGAGUGCUUUUGAAAGGCUGGUUGUUAACAUUCUUCAACAGGAAAGAGAUAAUCAUUGGAAAAAAGGAGCAGACUUCGUUACUUGAAACAUAUAAUUUCACAGAAAAUGAUGCUUCAGAGGCAACAUGAGUCCAAGGAUUGCAAACAGUUGCAAUCUACUAAAAGAUACCCUGUGCCCUUUAUUCACCACUUUAUUCCUUCAUAUUGGGAACAAACUUCUGAAUUAUCUUAAGAAGAUAAGGAUCAUUUUCACUCUUUUUUAAUGAAUUCAACAAUUUGGAAAAAGUAUGUGAAUGCAAUGGGAAUCCUCUAUUGUCCAUUUCUUCAAGAUGCACCAGUGCAUCAUCAUAUUUACCACCCAAAAGAAGUCCUUGGACAAUAACAUUGUAUGUGAUCCUAUCUGCCGAACAACCAUUCUCUUCCAUCUUUAUGAAAAAGUCCUUAGCUUCCUUAAGCAAACCUUUUGAGCAGAGGCCUAGAAUCAUGGUGUUGUAUGUUAUAACAUCAGGAUCCAAUCCUUUGAGAAAAAGACUAUUGAAAAGAUCUCGAGCACCAUCAAGCCUCCCACUUUUACACAAUCCAUCAAGAAUGAUGUUGUACAUAGUUAUAUGUUUGAGAUCCAAUCUCUGAAUUUCCAUCUUAUGCAACAAAUUCAAUGCUUCCUCGAUGUGUCCACCCUUGCAUAAUCCAUCCAACAUCACACAGUAAGUAUACCGGUCAGAUAUUAUGGGAGUCAUUAGCAUCUUGUCAAACACUUUUCUUGCAGCACCAGACCUUCCCACCCUAAACAAUCCCUGCAAGACUAUAUUGCAUGUAACAGUGCUAGGUGUUAAACCUUUACACUGCAUUUCUUCAAAAAGAUGUACAGCAUCAUCUGCGCUCAUCUUCUUAAAAUAUCCAUUGAUCAAUAUAUUAUAGUUGACACCACUCGGAACAACUCCAUUAGCAACCAUGGUGUCAAAAACUCUUCUUGCUUCGUCCACUCGGUCCUGCAAGCAGUAUCCAUCCAUCAAAGCACCAUAUGCCACGCAACUUGGUCUCUCACCUUGCUUAAGCAUGGUUUGAAAUACAUCUUCUGCAGCUUCUACCUCUCCUUCCUUACAUAGUGCAUCAAUCACAAUACCAAAUGUAAAGACAUCUCGUAUGAUGUGAAAAUCAUUCAUCUCAGUCAGCAGCUUAGUAACCUCUUUCCAUCUACCAAAAUUGCAAAGACCCUGGAUCAAACAAUUGUAGGUAACAACAUCUGGGGCAAUGCCUUUCUCAACCAUCUCAUGUAAAAGGUCAAGAGCUUUAUCUACCAUUUUAUCCUUGCACAAGCUGUCAAUGAUAGUGGUGUAAAUUAUGGCAGUCGGUUUAACUCUUCCUUCUUUACCCAUAACUCUGAGAAAUUCAACGGCUUUGCCUGUGUUCCCUGCCUUGCAGAGUCCAUUAAUCACGGUUCCAAACAUGACCCCAUUGGGUUCACAUAAUUUUUCACAGAUGAUCUUCCCAAACAAUUCUUGCGCCCGGGGAACCAUGUGCUGUCGAAAGAGUCCCCUGAGCAAAGUGUUAAAGGUGGUCACAUCAGGGACAAUACCGUACUUGAAGAAAACCCCCAAUAUACAAAAUCCCAAAUCCACUCGAUUCAAAAGGCAGUAACAAUUGAUCACAGUAUUCAGGGUGUAAUCAUCAACCUGAAUGCUCAAGAAGUACAUAUCUUUGAAAACGCAAAUAGCAGGAGAAUAAUGCUUCAUCUUAACAAUACGGCUAAGGAGUUGAUUGAAGUGAAAAACGUAAGGCACAGGCCUGCUUCGAACCAUAUCAUUGUAUAAAAACAGAGCUUCUUCCAGAUUAUUGAUAUCGUUAUUAAUCAGAUUUGUCAAAACAACAGGUGGGGAGUCCAUAGCAUCAGCAGCAGAAUGAAAGGAUGAUAUGGGUUUUGAAUAGGGGUUUGGAAGGAGAAAUGUAGCGGCAGUACAAGUACUAGUAGCAGUACCUAUUUCAGCUGAUUCUUUCUGAAACAUAGAAAUAGAGACAAUAGAACCAAAAGCUCUUCUUUUUAACAUCAUGGUUGUCUUCCUCACCAUAAGAUUGUUAAUCAGGGAGAAGAAAGCCAGAAUCUUGAAAAGAACACAACAAGAAGUCUGAGGAGGGUCAUUUAAAUUUACAAGAAGGAAACCCUUUUUCAGUUUAUUGGAUUUGGAGCUGUGCAAAUUUUUACUGCCUAACGUGCAUUUCAAAUUGUAGGGUUCCAAACAAACAAGGCUCUUAACUUAACAGUUCGGGAUCGAUUUAAACCCAAUUUCAGACAAGUUUGAGUCCUGGCUGGAACAAGAACGGAUUGUUAAAUUUGGACAGGAGAUUGUUUAGAAUAAAUUUUCAAAGGGAUAAUUUCAGAAACCUCCGAGGUUUCUGAUAAUUGCAAAGACCUUUCCUCAACUUUAUUAAAUUACGCCUGCCUUCCUUGCUUUUACUGUUUAUAAAAUAAUAUAGGUCCAAAAGAUUUUUUUUUCUCUUAAAAAUCUUAAACUACCCUUUUUGUACAAAAAUAAAAUAAAAAUUAUUUUGCCAGUUGUUUUCUUCUAUAUUUCAACCAAACCUAUCAUACUAACAAACUAGCUUAACAAAUAGUUUAAUUUCAAAUUCUAAACCCAAGCAAUUCCAUUAUCAUAGGCAUGGAUGGAAUUAAUCAAGUUUAAGAUAAGGAAAUGCAUCAUCAUGACUAUAGAGAUUUUUAAAAAAUUCAUUUUGCCAAAAAUUUCAAACCCAAUGCCGACAUCUUCUCAAAACAAAAUAAUCUAACCUACCAUGAAAUCUUCAAAUAUGUUAACGUCUUAAAUACAGAGAAAAAACUCCAUCUCCAUAACGAAAACCACAACCAACAAUUGUCAAGUAUAAAAAAAAUAUAUAAAUGUACUUAUUAACAUCUUAAAAAGUUUUUUGGAUGAAUGAUAGACAAAUUAGCAAAUUUACCAAUUUCAAUUCCUCUUCCUCUUUUGGAAAAUGAUUGCAUUAUUUGUUCCAUUAUUAUUGUGUAUUUUUCAUCUCCUUUUAGUUUAACUAUGAAAUCAAAUUUUACUUCAAUCAUCAAAUCUAAUCCCUUAACUAAAUUUGUAAUUUGGCAAUUCUAAAGAGAAGAAAGGAGGAAUAGGAAUAUAUAGGAGAGUUUGAGGGAUCAUUUGUGGUGUGAUUGGUUACAAUUAUACAAUAGUUAGUAAUAAUUUGAGAGCAAGUUAUAAGAUGCAGCGGUUGAUGGAUGAGAACAGAGUGAUAAUAAGUGAGAGAGAAUCAUCAUUAAUUGUAACUUGUAAAUAAGAUAGUCGAAGAGGUUAGGUUUCUUUUUCUUUUUUUUCAAUCUCAUUUCAUUAUACUAUGAAUUAUUUAUUAAGUGAAGGUCAUUGUAAUCAUUUUAUUGUGAUAAGGGAGGUCAGUGUAAUUUGUAAAACUUGAGAGGAGCUGAGUGAAAUUAUCAUAAACCACAGGGGAGGUUUGGGAAAUUAUCCCAUUUUCAAAUUCUGACAGGUUUGAGUUCUAGCUAGAACAGGAAUCAAUUGUUAAGUUUGGAUACGAGAUUAUUUGGAAUAAUUAUUUGUAAAAAUCCUAUAGCGAUUUUUGUAAUAUGAGAUGCGUAACGUAUGUAAGAUAAAGAGAUAUUUAAAAUAAAAUUAGUUUAAAAAUGUGCAUACAACUCACUUCACAUUAUAUAUAUAUGCACUAGUAAUAGUUCACGUACUUUGCAUGUGAUUGUAAUAUUUUAAAAUAUAUUAUUCUUUACUAAAAAUUUUUUAUGAAAAUUUGAUCAUCAACAUUAUAAUAUAGUAUUUUUAUGUUAUUUAUUUUUGUAACCUAGUUACUUUUAAAAUUUUUAUUAAAUGAAAAGAGAUAGAAAACAUCCAAUGUAGUUGACAUAUCCCUUACGAUUAAAUUUGAAAUUAUGAACCAAAUACUUUUUUAUUUAUAGCUUGAAUUCUAACAUAUCAAAUAUUGAUAAUAUAUGAUCCAUCACGUAAAGUUUUUUUGGCUUGUACAUUCUAACAAUUGAAAUUUUAUAAAUAAAGAUAGUUGGAGUUUUUCUAUUUUCCUUUUCUUUUAUUCAUGUUUUUGGCACACUCCAGUGUGAAGCAAAAGCAACUAGUCUACUUUUGUCAUAUGGCCACAAUAUUUUUGGUUUUAGUAUUAGUUUUUUUGAUGAUCAUGGAACUAGAAUGAGAAUUGUGGCUAAUUAAUAAUUUUAAUAUUAACUUUUUGUAUAGUGCAGUGUUUUAUUUUUUAAUUGCCAACUUUUAAUUCAUAACUGCUAUCAUUAUUAUCAAUUAUUUGAACGCACUACAUCUGUCUAAUUACAAUUGUCACCAUAAAUGAAAUUUACUUAAUUUUAAAGCUUUUCAUUCGUUUAUAGUCCUAAUAACGGAUUCAUCAAAAUUUGAUUUGCUUCAAUUCGUUUAUGGUCCUAAUGACGGAUUCAUCAAAAUGAUUGUAAAAGCUUUGGAGUGUUUCAUAUCUAAAAAGUCAUAAGAAAAAAAUUACCUUAAUGAUCUUCACUUACAGGAGUUAUCCAUAGAUAUGCAGAAAUCUGAUGAAGCUCUUAAGAAAAUUUAAGUUUUUCAUUUGUCUAAUAAUAGGCACUCAGUUAUCUUGUGUUGUGUUAGGUUACCUGUUGCUUGGUUCCAGGACAAAUUAACAAUUCCCUUAUAUUACUUGAUGCUUAUUAUUGCUUUUUGUUUUAUGGUCUCUCUGGGAAAUAUAAACUAAACAAAAAGGGCCAAGCUAGCUUAGAAUGGGAAAUGACCAAAGGCUUUCGAUCCUCAAAUGGUUACAGACGGAAACAGGAUGAAGCAGAUAGUCACUCACAUAACUGCUGUUUGUCAAUCUCCUUAUAAACUCAGGCUCAAAAUCUAUUUCUUGUUUGGAAAGGGAUUUUCUAUCAAAAAAUCUCUACGUUUUCCGUGAAUACAUUUCCCAAUCAACUUUUUAUCUCACAUAUAUCAAAUCCUUACAGUACAUUUUCUACGAAACUCCAGAAAAUUGCAAUCCAAACGCAACAACUUAGGGUCAAUUACAGAAUGUAUUAUUGUUUAUAAUACAUAACAUGCCGCCUGUUAAAGCUGCAUUUCGUUGGUGAAUGCCAAAAUUUCCCACUUCUUAGUCAUACAUCAGGUCCUCUGACUACAUGGCUUUUCUUGCCAAAGUGCAUUGUGCCUGUAUAGAAAUGAGGAUCCACUUGAAAAUAGGAUGAGUAUACCCGGUGGGAUUCAUUUAUCUUUUCACAAGCACUUUCAUCGUUGAAAGGAUCUCUUUCUCCUGCAUCAUACAUACAAUUUUCAGAAGUUUCAUUGAAGAAACUUGGGCUUUGGUGAAAAUGGCCAAAGCCUCCUGCUGAAUUGUACUCAAUAGAAUUCACUUUCACUGCUAUGUGUGUCCAGAAAUAGACACAUCUGUGGUCCGAUUAGUCCAAUGCUUUGUGUCUUUAAAAGUAAGUACAUACAAAUCAAAUUGAUAACCUUUUUUGAAAAAAAAAAAAAAAAAAAUCCCCGGCAAGGGAGGAGUGGGACUCAAAAAGCAGGGAGAGUGCAGUAGAAUUUAAAUCCAAAAUCUCUAAUUCGUCGGGCUUCAAAUUUAGCCAUUAGAUCAAAUCUCUUCAAACAAAUCAAAUUGAUAAUUUAUAACAUGGUACUGAAAUUUAAUCUUUCCCAUGACACCUUUUUUUUUUCAUCUGGUUUUGUUCUUGAACUCUCUUUCAUUACUUUUUCUUUUCCCGGGGAAAGGGAUAAGAAAGAUGGAUUUGAAUAGGAGCACCGCCAAGUCACUGGACUUGACCGCCAAUACUUUUUUUACAUUGCUGCAUAGGUUGGAUGAUAACACAGAGCAGCUUAGAUGAUUCUUAAAGAACAAGUCAACAAACAAGUGAAAAACAUGAGUAUAGUAGUUUUACACCAGCAGCUGAGUCUCCUAAUAAGCACAAGUUCAACAAUCCUAAUUCUUGAAAACAACUUAAUGCUGAACCAUUACUAACUGAAAGUUGCAACUCACAAGAGUCUGAGAAGAGCAGGGAAUUACCGAAAAGGCAAUUAGAGCAGUAGCAACGUGUUGACUGCAUGACACCCACAGAAGAACACUUACCAGUAUAUUUGUCAACAAGAAGAGCUUCAGAGUAUAACAUGGAGCCUGGGGAUUCUCCAUUGCACUUUUUCGUACGUAUACCUGAGAUGAAGGCCUUCCCACUAAAACUCAUUCAACAAUGUGAAGGCUCAUAUGCCAUCCCUUUUAAGGAGUCUUAUUCAUUCCCCUUGCUGCAAGUUCAGUGUGAUGCAUGCUGCCACAGAAAUGAAAGAAUGGUACCCUACCAGAAGUAGCAUUUUGAACAAAACCAAGAAUAAUUACAAUAUGAUAAGAAGACAGCAAAAACAUGCAUCCACUGCUACUGAGAGACUCAUUAGACCUUGAAAGCAUUGACCUACAAACAGCAGACAUUAAGAUUCCAACAAAGUGCCCAAAAGUGCUACUACAAGGCUUGAUUGUUAAUAUUCUUGAACGUGGAUGAUGCAAUUACAAGACACAAGAUCACACUUCAAAACUCAGGACAGGCAAUAUGAGUACGACACCAGAAGUAGCAUUUCGGACAAACCCAGAAUAGUUUUGAUACAACAAGCAAACGGCAAAGACAUGUAUCCACUCUGACGAAGAGAGUUUAAAUAAACUUUCAAAGCACUAACCUAAAAGCAAUGACAUCAAACUUUCGCUGAAGUGUCCAGGAGAGCUUUUGAAAGGCUUGUUGUGAACAAGCUUCAACAAGAAUGAGAGAAUCAUUGAAAAGAAGACCAGACUUCCCUAUUUGAAACACCUACUUCCCAGAAAAUGAUGUUUCAGGGGCAAUAUAAGUGUGACAUCCAGGGAUCGCAAACGGUUGCAAUCAACUAGAAGACACCCUGUGCCUUUUAUUCAUGACUUCAUUCCUUAAUAUUGGCAACAAACUUCUGAAUUAUCUUCGGAAGAGAAGGAUCACUUUCACUCUCUUUUAACGAAUUUAAUAAAAUGGAAACGGUAGGUGAAUGUGGAGGGAAUUUUCUCUAUUCCAUUUCUUCAAGAUACACCAGUGUAGCAUCAUAUUUACCACCCAAAAGCAGUCCUCAGACAAUUACAUUUCACAUGAUCAUGUCUGCCAAGCAACCAUUCUCUUCCACCUUUACAAAAAGUCCUCAGCUUCCUUUAGCUAAUCUUUUGAGUACCGCCCUUGAUUCAUUGCAUUACAUGUAACAAAAUCAGCUUCCAUAUUCCAUACAUAUACUUUACCAGAAAAUGAUAUUCAGAGGCAAUAUGAGUGACAUCCGAAGAUCAUAAAUCAUUGCACUAUACUAAAAGAUACCUGUGCCUUUUAUUCAUGACUUUAUUCCCUCAUAUUGGGAACAAACUUCUGAAUUAUCUUGAGAAGAGAAGGAUCAUUUUCACUCUCUUUAACUGAAUUUAAUAAAAUGGAAAAGGUAUGUGAAUGAAGAGGGAAUCCUCUCUUAUCCAUUUCUUCAAGAUACACCAGUGCAUCAUCAUAUUUACCUCCCAAAAGAAAAACUCGGACGAUAACAUUGUACGUGAUCCUAUCUUCCGAGCAACCACUCUCUUCCAUCUUUGCGAGAAACUCCUUAGCUUCCUUUAGCAAACCUUUUGAGCAGAGCCCUUGUAUCAUGGUAGUAUAUGUUGAAACAUCUGGAUCCAGUCCUUUAAGAGAUAGGCUCUCGAAAAGAUCUCGAGCACUAUCAAGCCUCCCAAUUUUACACAGUCCAUGAAGAAUGAUGUUGUACAUGCAUACAUGUCUGAGAUCCGCUCUUUCAACUUCCACCUUGUGGAACAAAUCCAGUGCUUCCUCAAUGUGUCCACCCUUGCAUAAUCCAUCCAACAUCACACAGUAAGUGUAGAAGUCAGACAUUAUGUUAGUCGUUUGCAUCUCAUCAAACACUUUUCUUGCAGCACCAGACCUUCCCACCCUAAACAAUCCCUGCAAGACUGUAUUGCAUGUAUCAGUGCUAGGUGUUAAACCUUUACACUGCAUUUCUUCAAAAAGAUGUAGAGCAUCAUCUACUCUCGUCUUCUUAAAAUAUCCGUUGAUCAAUAUAUUAUAGUUGACACUACUUGGAACAACUCCAUUGGCAACCAUGGUGUCAAAAACUCCCCUUGCUUCAUCCAUUCGGCCCUGCAAACAGUAUCCAUCCAUCAAAGCUCCAUAUGUCACGCAAUUUGGUCGCUCACCUUGGUCAAUCAUGGUUUGAAAUACAUCUUCCGCAGCUUCUACCUCUCCUUCCUUACAUAGCGCAUCAAUGACAAUACUAUAGGUGAUAACAUUUAGAUGAAUGUGAAAAUCCUUCAUUCGAGUCAGUAAUACCUUAGCUUCUCUCCAUCUACCAAGAUUGCAAAGACCCUGGAUCAAACAAUUGUAGGUAACAACAUCUGGGGCAAUUCCCUUCUCCACCAUCUCAUGUAGAAGGUCAAAAGCUUUAUCUACCAUUUUAUCCUUGCACAAGCUGUCAAUGAUAGUGCUGUAAAUUAUGGCAUUCGGUUUAACUCUUCCUUCUUUACCCAUUACUCUGAGAAAUUCAAUGGCUUUACUAGUGCUGCCUGCCUUGCAGAGUCCACUGAUUAUAGUUCCAAAUAUAACCACAUUGGAUUCACACAGCUUUUCUUGAAUGAUUUUGAUGAACAAUUCUUGCGCCUGAGAAAUCAUGUGCUGUCGAAAGAGUCCCCUGAGUAAAGUGCCAAAGGUGGCCACAGUGGGGGCACUGCCAUUCUUGACGAAAAGCCCCAGCGCACAAAAUCCCAAAUCCGUUCGUUCCAAGAGGCAGUAAGAAUUAAUCAAGAUAGUCAGGGUGUACUCAUCAACUGGAAUGCCCAAAAACCACAUAUCUUUGAAAACUGAAAUCGCAGAAGAAUAGUGGUUCAUCUUAACAAUGCGGUCAAGGAGUAGAUUGAAGAGAGCAACACAAGGCAGAGGCCUCAUCCGGACCAUGUCAUUGUACAAUCCCACAGCAUCUUCCAGAUUAUUGAUCUCAUUAUUACUCAUAUUUGUCAAAUAUCCAGGUGGGUAUUUCAUAGGAUCAGUAACAGCAGCAGAAGAAUAGAAAACUAAUUUGGAUUUCCUGUAUCGGUCUUGAGAGACAAGCGAAACGCCAACAGUAGUACCCGAUGCUUUCCCAAAUUGAAAAGCAGAAAUAACAGCAGCAAAAGCUCUCCGUUUCAUCAUCGUCGCCGUCGUCUACGUCUUCGUCUUCAAAUUUGCUAAUCAGAUAAAACAGCUGCUUCUCUGCAAGAUGAAACUGUGAAUGGGAAAGGAGUGGUGGGUCGGUGGGAUAAUUCAAAAGCCAAUAAUACUAUGCUCAUCUUCUUCAUGUAAAUGUAGUAAUAAAGAGUUUCUUUUCUUUUUCAUCUUGUUUUCACUUUUAACGUUCUGUCGCUAAGGAAUGAGAUUUCUUUUUGGCCUUUUACAACUUCUCCUUUUGGGUUAGCUUAAAAUUGUUUCAAACUUUGCUAACUUUUCUGAAUGAAAAUCUUGGUAAUUGACUGAUAACUUGGUAAAAUCGGUGACAAGUGAUUAGUGAUAGAUGAUUAAUCUAAUACACUCUUGCUCACAUGGUGUGCCCAAUACCUUUUUACCGUAUUCUUGUUUGAUAAUACUAAGUUUGGAAAGUUCUUUUAAAAAAGAACAAAAAAAAAAAAAACUUGAGGAAAAAUCAUAUAGGUUAGUGUUGUUCAAAUGAACGGGGAGAUUUUACCGCUCUCUCGAAGAUUAUAUCCUCAAGUUAAAUUGAUAAGCAAUUAUUUUUUACUUCUAAAUUCUAACCAACAAUUACAAAUAAUAAGUUUCAAAUCUAAUUUGUAUAUUAAAAAAAUUACCAUAUAUGACAAGCUCUACCGAUUCCUUGUAGUGGAGUCUCUCAAUAUGUCAUUAUUAAAUAAAAUUUCAUUGACAAACGAAUAAAUACGAGAUGAAAUGCUUACUUUUCUUUUCUUUUUUCACAUUUCCCAGAUGGGAAGUUUAUUUUCCCGUCGACCUAUUGUCAAAGUUAGAUUAAUAAAAGAUUUUCUCUUUUUUCAAAAGAGCAGGAAUAAGACCUUUAGUUAAAAAUUAUAUAUAUAGUCAUUGAGGGAUACAAACUGAAUGAAUAGUUCCUCGAAAGAACCAUAGAACUCCUCACUCCUAAUAUUUUGGUAUCCAAAUGUUCUCUAUUUGAAAAAUAAUAUUACAGCCGUUUUUUAGAUAGAUGGAAUGUACGUGACAUAAAAGGUAAUUCAAACAACAUAUCAAAGGAAUAUGUUCCCAAAAAAAAAAAAAAAUUUUUUUUUUUCCGAACGCUCACAACCCUAACAAGCUCUCAUUAUCUAACCAACAGUUAGAAACAGACCAACACACCAAGAAUAAAGACGUGCGAAGAUAUAGAGAGAUCAGACCCUGGUGAGCCAGCUCUGCAAAAGUUCACACCUGGUGAACAUUCAUCCUUCCAGAGUGGAUCUGUCACACCAAUUCAUCAAGCAAAAAUCAACUAACAAUUAUAACUAAACCCAAAAAUUGUAAGGAUAAUGGUGGAGUUCGAUGAUUAAGCAGGAAAAAAGAUAAUCUCAAUCAGUGAGUACACCUGCAGGAUCAGAUCCAUGGACCCUUCAGAUGGAUGGGGCACUAAAUUUCUGAUGAAGCUGACUUGAUCUUGUCAAGGCAGGGUCUAGAAUGAAGGUGCAAUUAAAAUGAAGCUAUAUAACAAGCAAACUCCAGAUGAAGAAGCUUUGCCAUACAAAAGGACAUGGAAAGAAAUCUCAGAGUACAAAACAACCUCACGAUCAGCCUUUUAGAGCCAAAAAAGAAAUGUGUGUUUUUCUUUUCAUUUUUUUUUUCCAUUUACGAUCACGAAAUGAUCCAAUUCACUUCAGGUUGCCAUCCAAUUUUCUAUUAAAACUAAUUAAAAAAAAAAAAAUUAAAUGCAAUUAGAUUGCUGUUUGCAUGUCUCCCUAAUUCACCUGUGAAUUGCUCAUGUUGAAAGUUCAGUUUCAAGGAACUGAAAAGAUCUUCUCACCACUCCAUGCACACCCUUGCAGCAGGACCUAUUUUUUGUUCCAAAAUGUUAAUUUAAAACUUGGGAAGUAGAACCUGCAGGCUGCAAAGUGCAAAUCUUACAUAAUGCCCAUGGUUGGGCCCACUCCCCACAUGAACGACAACAGCAAACAAAGAGUAUUCAGAAUCGGCGUUUUCCACAGUGUUGCUCAGUUUCAGCUCUAGAGUAGAGGGAACACUACGCGAUACGACAACUUCUUGUAUCGACCAAGUUGUUCCAUGUAUUUGAAACGCUUCAGAUGGAUGACUAGAAUUUGAGGUGGCUUUUUAAUCUUCAUCCUCUUUUGAGCCUCUUGCAGGCUACUGCACUUGUCACAGAAAAACUUAUCCUCCGCAUUCAAGGUUUCUGUGGAACUGAAGUUUUUGAGACAGCUAGUGAUAGAACUAUUCUGUUCAAUAUCAAGGCUCAAGUCAAAGAAUGUCUCAUCCCUUGCUGUGACCGUCUCACACCUUAGACACCUUGUCUCAUUGGUAAGUAUUCCCUGAAAAUUCUUGUGUACCCAUGUAACCAGUGGCUCCUUGACACCAUUUGACCGACCAUUAUUCUGCCCAUUAGCAAUCCUUUCCUGAGAUGGUGGACAUUUUGCUGCUUGCGACUCUUUCUCCAGUAUAUCAACAAGUUCAUUGAGCAAGAAGUUCAAAAAUUCAUGGGCAUCCUGAUGCAUGUAGCCACGGAAAAGUUCAUUUUGUUUUCUCACUCUCUGAACAAAACGCUUUGGUGCAAUGACACCUGUUUUCUUCUUUUGUGAACUUAUCUGCGAGAACAGUUCUGCCAAACAAGUCAAGAGAUUUUCUUCUGCUUCCCCUAGAGUUUUCCCAUUUGCAUAAUACUCUAAAAAGUUGUUCCCUAAAUGGUACACACAAGUAUAACGCCUGCAAGACACUGUUGCAAUAGCAAGUAUUCCCAAAAUUUUCAAGGCCAAAAUAGCGUUCUCCUUCAGGAAACUGGUCUCCGAGGGCCUUCUCGAGCUUGGAACCCGUGGCACCCAUUACUUGGAGACCAUCUACAAGAUACCAAAACUCCUCUAUUAUUUUUCUUUUUUUUAAUCCAACAAUCUUGUUUGCUGUUGUAAUUUGCAUAAGAUACUUGACAUUUGAAAAAGUAGGCUUCUGAGAAGUCAAGAAAACUCAACUUAUUUAAGAAUGACUCUAAAGAAAGCAGGGCUCUUGUACAUUGCAACCUAAACCACAAUCAACUUAUUUAAGAAUGACUCUAAAGAAAGCAGGGCUCUUGUACAUUGCAACCUAAACCACAAUCAACUUAUUUAAGAAUGACUCUAAAGAAAGCAGGGCUCUUGUACAUUGCAACCUAAACCACAAAUGUAAUAGUAGGCUAAACAUCACAGUUUACCGUUUACCCCUGAAAAUCCCAAUUUUGAAAGUUCCAAAUUUCCCUUCCACCUUCGAUGAGAGGAUUGGAGAAUAGCCUUUUGAUUUCCAGUCUUGGACGCAAUUCUUCAUCACGUUCAUCAAGUCAAUUGCACCUUUCGCAACUAAAAUAAAAAAUCCAGCUUCAAUUGAACGGCAUAUUCCAUUUCCUAUUCCACCUAUCCACCGACGGCGGUCUCUUUCGGGAUUUCGCCGCACUUCAUCUUUCAGAUUGAUGAUAUCGUUGUGCAUCUCGGAUAGUUUCUUUUCCAAUUGUUCGUAGAGGUGCAGCGGGUCGGCAUUCUGUCUCUCCAGGGACCCAGUACUGCCCGGAGACGCAAUACCCUUGACAUCAGUCAUCCCUUUCAGUCGAUCGUCGUCGAUAGAACUGAGGUGGGACGGCUCGCCAUUCUCUCCCUCCGGAGACCCAAUCUCCUGGACAUCAGACAAUUUCUCAAUAUUCCGUCCGUCGACGAUUAAGUCCCUACGGCGGCCCACAUCCAUCAGUUGAAAGCAAAUGUGGCGGCUUUCUUGACUGCUGUAAGCCUAGGGUUUGCUGUCUUCGGGCAGUACUGGGUCCCUGGAGAGACAGAAUGCCGACCCGCUGCACCUCUACGAACAAUUGGAAAAGAAACUAUCCGAGAUGCACAACGAUAUCAUCAAUCUGAAAGAUGAAGUGCGGCGAAAUCCCGAAAGAGUCCGCCGUUGGUGGAUAGGUGGAAUAGGAAACAUUUACCUGAUGAAUGCCUAUCUACAAAGCCUACUCCAGGAAAAUGAAGGCUCAUUUCCAUUCUUUGAGUUUGUCUGACUCAUUCCUCUUAACCGCAAGUCCAGUGUAACGCUCAAUGCCACGGCAAUGAAAAAGUGACCACCUACCAGAAAUAGCAUUUUGGACAAACUAAGAAAAGCUUUGAUAUGACAAGCAAAUGGCAAAAAUAUGUAUCCAGAGAGUCUAAAUAAACCUUCAAAGCAUUAACCUGAAAUCAAUGACAUCCAGGGAUCGCAAAUGGUUGCAAUCAACUAAAAGAUAGCCUGUUCCUUUUAUUCAUGACUUCAUUCCUUAAUAUUCGCAACAAACUUCUGAAUUAUCUUCGGAAGAGAAGGAUCACUUUCACUCUCUUUUAAUGAAUUUAAUAAAAUGGAAAUGGUAGGUGAAUGCAGAGGGAAUUUUCUCUAUUCCAUUUCUUCAAGAUACACCAGUGUAGCAUCAUAUUUACCACCCAAAAGCAGUCCUUAGACAAUUACAUUUUACAUGAUCCUGUCUGCCAAGCCACCAUUCUCUUCCACCUUUAGCAAAAGUCCUUGGCUUCCUUUAGCUAAUCUUUUGUGCACAGGCCUUGACUCAUUGCACUGCAUAUAACAACAUCAGACUUCCAUAUUUCAAACAUAUACUUUACCAGAAAAUGAUAUUCAGAGGCAAUAUGAGUGACAUCCGAAGAUCAUAAAUCAUUGCAAUAUACUAAAAGAUACCUGUGCCUUUUAUUCAUGACUGUAUUCCCUCAUAUUGGGAACAAACUUCUGAAUUAUCUUGAGAAGAGAAGGAUCGUUUUCACUCUCUUUAACUGAAUUUAAUAAAAUGGAAAAGGUAUGUGAAUGAAGAGGGGAUCCUCUCUUAUCCAUUUCUUCAAGAUACACCAGUGCAUCAUCAUAUUUACCUCCCAAAAGAAGUCCUUGGACAAUAACAUUGUAUGAUAUCCUAUUUGCCAAGCAACCAUUCUCUUCCAUCUUUGCGAGAAACUCCUUAGCUUCCUUUAGCAAACCUUUUGAGCAGAGCCCUUGUAUCAUGGUAGUAUAUGUUGAAACAUCUGGAUCCAGUCCUAUAAGAGAUAGGCUCUCGAAAAGAUCUCGAGCACUAUCAAGCCUCCCAAUUUUACACAGUCCAUGAAGAAUGAUGUUGUACAUGCAUAAAUGUCUGAGAUCCACUCUUUCAACUUCCAUCUUACGCAACAAAUUCAAUGCUUCCUCGAUGUGUCCACCCUUGCAUAAUCCAUCCAACAUCACACAGUAAGUGUAGCAGUCAGAUGUUAUGGGAGUCAUUAGCAUCUUGUCAAACACUUUUCUUGCAGCACCAGACCUUCCCACCCUAAACAAUCCCUGCAAGACUAUAUUGCAUGUAUCAGUGCUAGGUGUUAAACCUUUACACUGCAUUUCUUCAAAAAGAUGUACAGCAUCAUCUGCUCUCAUCUUCUUAAAAUAUCCAUUGAUCAAUAUAUUAUAGUUGACACCACUCGGAACAACUCCAUUAGCAACCAUGGUGUCAAAAACUCUUCUUGCUUCGUCCACUCGGCCCUGCAAACAGUAUCCAUCCAUCAAAGCACCAUAUGUCACGCAACUUGGUCUCUCACCUUGCUUAAGCAUGGUUUGAAAUACAUCUUCUGCAGCUUCUACCUCUCCUUCCUUACAUAGUGCAUCAAUCACAAUACCAAAUGUAAAGACAUCUCGUACAAUGUGAAAAUCAUUCAUCUCAGUCAGCAGCUUAGUAACCUCUUUCCAUCUACCAAAAUUGCAAAGACCCUGGAUCAAACAAUUGUAGGUAACAACAUUUGGGGCAAUUCCCUGCUCCACCAUCUCAUGUAAAAGGUUAAGAGCUUCAUCUACCAUUUUAUUCUUGCACAAGCUGUCAAUGACAGUGCUGUAAAUUAUGACGUUCGGUUUAACUCUACCUUCUUUAACCAUAACUCUGAGAAGUUCAACGGCUUUGCCAGUGUUCCCCACCAUGGUGUCAAAAACUCUCCUUGCUUCAUCCAUUCGGCCCUGCAAACAGUAUCCAUUCAUCAAAGCACCAUAUGUCACGCAAUCUGGUCGCUCACCUUGCUCAAUCAUGGUUUUAAAUACAUCUUCUGCAGCUUCUACCUCUCCUUCCUUACAUAGUGCAUCAAUCACAAUAUUAAAUGUAUAAACAUCUCGUACAACGUGAAAAUUAUUCAUCUCUGUCAGUAAUACUUUAGCUUCUCUCCAUCUACCAAAUUUGCAAAGACCCUGGGUCAAACAAUUGUAGGUAACAACAUUUGGGGCAAUUCCCUGCUCCACCAUCUCAUGUAAAAGGUCAAGAGCUUCAUCUACCAUUUUAUUCUUGCACAAGCUGUCAAUGACAGUGCUGUAAAUUAUGACGUUCGGUUUAACUCUUCCUUCUUUAACCAUAACUCUGAGAAGUUCAACGGCUUUGCCAGUGUUCCCCACCUUGCAGAGUCCAUUAAUCACGGCUCCAAACAUGACCCCAUUGGGUUCACACAACCUUUCACGAAUGAUCUUGAUGAACAAUUCUUGCCCCUGGGGUAUCAUAUGCUGUCGAAAAAGUCCCCUGACUAAAGUGCUAAAGGUAGCCGCAUUGGGGACAAUGCCAUUCUUGAAGAAAAGCCCCAGCGCACAAAAUCCCAAAUCCGCUCGUUCCAAGAGGCAGUAAGAAUUAAUCAAGAUAGUCAGGGUGUACUCAUUAACUGGAAUGCCCGAAAACCACAUAUCUUUGAAAAUGGAAAUCGCAGAAGAAUAGUGCUUCAUCUUAACGAUGCGGCCAAGGAGUUGAGUGAACUGAAUAACAGAAGGCAGAGGCUUGAUGCGGACCAUAUCAUUGUAUAAUCCCACAGCAUCCUCCAGUUUGUUUAUGUCGUUAUUAAUCACAUUUGUGAAACCCUCAAAUGGGUAUUUCGUAGCAUCAGCAGCAGAAUGAAAAGCUAAUUCACCAGUAGCAGCAGCAAUAGUGCCUGAUGCUUUCUGAAAUUGAGAAAUAUAAACAGAAGCAGCAGCAGCAAAACCUCUUCGUCUCAUCAUCGCCGCCGUCGAGACCUGUGAUUUCCGGCAACUUCUUUAAGAGAGAGGAGUAAAGAGGAAAGGACUAAGGAGGGUUGAGUCUUGGCGGGUGUGUCGUUCAAAGUGGCAAAGUCCACCGAAAAGGAUUGAUAUGGUUGAGUCUUUGGUAUAAAAAAAAAUUAAUUCAAAGACUGAAUCAGAACAACCCUUUAAUCGGGCUAUAUACCUAUUAACUACUUACUCAACCUCUUUUGGUUAGGAAAAGCCCAAUAGCCCAAAGUAAAGAUAUCGGGGUGAGAGCAUUCUAAUCUGAUUUUUUUUUUGGGGGGUUAAAUUUUCAAAUUUCAUUUUGAUAACAUUGGUUGAAUUGACAUUUAUCAUUUUGAUGUGUUUACCAGGAUGAAAACACUGUAGUAGUUAAUUUGGAAAAUGCUCAAGAAUAAUCAUAUCAUUUUUAGUUUGGAAUUUGUAGCAAGCAAUAAGUUAUUGUAUUCCAUUUUGUUUGAAUUAAGAAUUAAUCUUUUGACAGAAAACAUUAGGAGGAGCGAAGUGCAUGUAAACAAAUGCAAAACUUGAAGUUGAAAUUGAAAUUGAGAUUUAUUGUCGACCAAAUAAUGUAUAUAUUUUCACACGAAAGAUUAAUUUUCAAAUUCAAUGGAUAUAUACUUUUGUACGAAAGAUUAAUUUCUAAAUUAAAUUAAUUGUAAAAUACGUAUGAGCGAAUCGUCUUAAUUGAAGUUCGAACGCAUUUGUUUUUUAACUUCAUGUGUUGAAUUUCAGAUUCAUUUGUUCUUGACCUUCGUUUUAUUUUAGGGCAGAUAGGAUUGUAAUGCUGGUUUAAAAAAUUAAGUGAACUUUUAGAAAAUAUUAUGGUCCUCUUUCGCUCCAAAAUAUCUUUCAUCCGAAUGAAUCGCUGCACCUAUGCAGAAGCUUUUUCUUCUAGUAAUUGGCCACGAUUGAAAUCGUUGCUGGAGGGGGAGCUGCUAUUCAUCUAGGACAAAAUAUAUGAUCCCAAAAAAAAAAAGAAUUACCACACGUCACAAACUUUGGUGUUUUUUUUUUAAAAAAAAAAAAUUGUUUUCAUUUUUGGGUACAUUGAACUACUUACUGCAUUAGAGUAUAGAAAAAGGGAUUAUUGGCCAUAUGAUUAAGAAACAGCCAUCACCAAGAAUAUCAUAUCAUGAUUUGGGUCUGAGUUCUAUGCCCUCAACAAUAAGGCCGCCUUUAAUGUGCUGACCAUCAACCUCUCUUAGGCACAUUUUCACCUCCUUUUCACUUCCAUCAUUGUAAAACUCACCCAAUUCAACCUCCAUCCAUCCAUCUUCCCUCUCAUGCAGGAUUCUUUCAUUCCUUUCACAGAAUCCUGGUGUCACUACCUCGUCAAGUGUCCGCAACAAGCAAAUGCUACACUUCUUGUGCCUGAGAAGAGUUAUGCCCCAAGAUUUCUGGUCCCCAGCAUCAAUGAUAACCUCCAAGGGAUAUGAAUGUAGCCCAUAUGCACGAUUUGCAAGUUUAACCACCAAGUAGGCUGCGUAUGUUGUCUUGGGUGACAGCAUUCGAGUGUUGAUCUUUCCAGUGAUAUCCAGCCAUGUUACCAUUAUCAGCUCAGCCACUUCAGGGAAUCUGUUGUCGGCAUAUAUGCAAAUAGGACAAUACAUACAAGGGAGAAGCUUUCAAUGAGUGGUGUGGUGUAGAGUUUUCUACUUUGAUUAAUUAGGAAUCUGAAGAAGUAUUUACCUUGACGGAAGAAAGGGUUUCCAGCACCAGUAAAGAUGAUUACUGGACCACGUUAUUGAGAGCUCCCUUGCACUCAACAUGUAACAUUUUUUGUUCGCAAAUUUGUCUAUCCAAAACGUCUGCAUUUGUCACAAGAUAAGGAAAUCAGCAUCAAUGACCAUCCAACAGCAUCACCAUUCUCUGUGAAUGCGGACUCUUUCCAAGUAAACGGUGCAGAUUUUGGUAAAAGAAAACGGCCAUGAUAAAGGGUUCCCACCGGGAUAGCGUGCAGGACAUAUAUAUACAUAUAUAUAUAUAUAUAAACACACACACUGUCACACAUACUUAGAUACAAGGUAUUAUUGUUCCUCAAUCAAUUCUUGCUCAAUUACUUCUGAUAAACAAGAGUACCUGCUAAACACUUGUUAAUAUACCUAAAUCUCAUCUAAGCUAUUACUAUAUGAAUUCCACGCAUCAAAAUUUCUGUCUGUCCCUUAUAUUUAUACACUUUUUUGGAUUCAUUUUAUUUUGCUUUUCCAAAAAAUUAACGCCUAUUUUAAUUUUACACGUGUUCAUCAAACACUCACUAGAAGCUUGGAUCAAAGAAAACAAGAAACGGAAAAUGAAUGCAAGAGCAAGAUUAAAGCAUUUGUUACAUGAAAAAAGCAGUGGAUGAUAUUAUCUCGGAUGAUCGAUUAUGGCUUAAUAAUUGUAUUAAAAUUGUUGGCCCACAUGAUGUAGUUGAUUGAAAACAAAAGCAAAAGCAAGAAGCAAUCGUGAACGUCAAAAAAAAAAACAAAAACAAAAAAUGGAGGGUUUGAAUAUGCACUAAUGCUUUGACUGAUGAACGGUGAUGAUACCUUGUUGCCACCAUCAAUGAGGAGAGGGUGAGAGAGCUUAAGAAACAGAUCCUUUUUUGAUUUGAACUCCAAUGGAGAAACCAAUCUUGAAAGAAUAUCCAGGUAAUCGGAUGGCAAGAAUUUCUCCCACAAAACUUCAGAUUCAGCUGCAUCACGGAUCCCAUUGGAGACCAGAGACGCCUGACAUGCAACUCGCGGAGAUGUGCGAGAGAGCACUUGAACUAUACAUUCUUCCGGCAGAAGUUCGAGGUUCAUUUCUGACAUAAUUUUGCCAGCCAGAGAGAUAUUUGCCAAAAAAAAAAAAGUAAAAUUGGAAGCACGGAGGAAGAGAUGAUGAUGAAGCUAGAAACUUGUGAAUAUGGGAGGAAAUAGUCAGGCCCUUUAUACAGUAAAGCCAAGACUGGAGUCGGUUGUUGUUUGCGGGUUUUGUUGUGUCGAGAAAAUGGUGCACAAAUGACGACAUUAGGAGGACACAAUGGGGAGUUUUGUUGUGUCGGGAAAAUGGGUCCACAAAUGACGACAUUAGAAAGACAUCACGUCAACACCACAUUUGUUGUACGCUAUAAAAAAAAGAGUGGGUCAAGAAAUCUGGAUGGCCCACGACCGUUUAUUAAGCUUGUAGAUUUUUAGCCGUCUGACUAUUAAGUGUAUAUUUGUCAUCUUUUUGACUAAAGAUAAUUUUAAAAUCUUCUCCUGAGACUUUUGUUAAUAUUACUUGACAUUUCUAAGAGUAUUGUGUUCGCAGCAAUUUAAGUUUGAAAGGUUGAACUUUGAUUAUCACCGCAAAUUAGGGCAUGCUUUCGAGAUUAUAAGUCAAACGCAUAAUUUUUUUGUUAAAAAGUAUUUCAUCCUUACCAACUGAACUAACUUGUAUUAGCAUGAAUUAAACCGUUACUUCUAUAUAUAUAUAUAUAUAUUAGGCAAAAAAUGACGAACUAAAGUGUCACUAUGAUAAAUUUUGAGGAGAAAACUUUGGAAGAAUAGAAUUUAAUCUUCUAAAUAAUACAUCCAAUGAAUACAAGAAAAUAUUUACAUUUUUUGUGAACACAUUUUAACCUCACAUAUUACAGCACAUUUUUUUACAAAACUCCAGAAAAUAGCAACCCAAAACAAGCUAUUGCUAAGUCUUGGUUUUUGUCUUGAUAGACAAUACUAUCUAAAUUUAGCAUAAUUAUUUUUAACGUUACACGUAGAACGUUGUCAUUUUUUCACGAAAUGGUUGUUUAUUUUUCAAAGUAUUUUCGGCUGUCUAAGUUGAAAAAAAAAAAAAAGGCUGUCUAAGGUAAUAUGCCUCCACAUUUAGAAGGAUAUCUCUUUGAAUAUAAGUCGUAAUUUAGCCAUCUCUUGGGUUAGAUUCAAUGUGGUUGAAUUACUGAGUGGUAAUAUGUUGAUAUAAAUUCUCAGGGGAAAAAGUGGACAAUUGCUCCUUCAACUUUCAAAAAUUAAAUAUGAAGCUUGCAAAUUUUUAUAAAUUUCUUACUUUUAUCUCAUUUUUACAUCCCUAAAUUUUACAAAAUUUCUUAUUACUCUCACAUUGCUCCCACUAACAAUAUAACAAUUUUUCAUUAUCCUAUUUGAAAAGUUAAAAAAAUACCGCUUUGAAUUAAAAAAAUUCAAAUCUUUUGAAACAAAGCAGAAUUUAAAGUUAAUAUAAUCUUUGUCUAACAUCUCUUCUGUGUAGCGAUAUUGAAAACUCAAACAAUAUGUUAUUAAUCUAAAAACCUGUUCGAUAACCCAAUUGAAUAGUUAAAUUUAAUGGGUUCAAAUCCAUCCAGAUUGGCCAUUUUUUCAAAAAAAAAAAAGUUUUUUAAAUACAAUGCUACAGUAAUACACAAUAACUCAAAAAACAUCUCAUCCAUAUAAUAUGUCAAAUUUUUCAUAUACACUGCUACAGUAAAUUUUUUCAAAAACAUCCCAAAUAGCUAAUCCAAAUGGAGCCGUUAACAUGUUUAGAUGUGUUUGACAAUAAAAAAUAGAACAUCUGAAUUAAUUAAGUGGCAUUGAUUUUCUUAGAUAAAACUUGAUCCCAAAAUUAAAUAAUAAAUUAUUCACUUAUCAUUUAAUGUGAAAUACACUCUAGUGUAUCAGAUUUAGUACUUAACAAUUCAUAACUUGAUGAAUUCAAACUUCAGACAUCAAGUUAUGAAUUGGCACCCUAAGUAAAUUUUGGCACAUGACUCCGUCAUUGUAUACUAUCAUUAGAUAAUUGUGAUCUUAUUUGAAAAAAAAAAUCGACAUUCAUAAGACAACAUUUGUACAUUUUUUUUUGUAGAAAUCAUUAUUUUAUUCAUAAAAUCUAAUAGCAAAAAAUACAUUAUCAUCAAACAUGUUACAGAAACAACAUAUUUGAUUACAGAUACAUCCAAUUUGAAAAAAUUACAAUGUUACAUCGUAAAUUACCGUGUAUAUAUAUAUAUAUAUAUAUUUAUAUAUAUUGGUCCUUAGUAAACAACGAUUGGAAUAUUGACUAGAGAGUAGUAUACUUUGAUAACGUCAUUUUUCCUCCAUCAUUGCGUUACUGGUUAAUUUGAAGAUUUUAUUAUGGGAGAGGAAAAUAUAUAUUUCUUUGCAUAAAAGGGGAAAAAUAGCUCCCGUCAGUAUUUAUCUUGUAUUUUUCUACCGUAUCGGUCACGGAACAAAAUGAAUGAGCCGUCAUUUCAUAAAUCAUACUCCCUCCGUCCCACUUUGAUAGUCCUGUAUUCCUUUUUCAUCUGUCCCAAAUUGUAGUCCACUUUCCAAUUGAAGAAUAUAGUUGUAUUUUAAUUUUCCUAAAAUACCCUUAUUCUAUGUAAGUAGUUGUUACUAUAAACCUACCCCAUUUAAUGAGAGUUGAUUCUUUUUUUACCAUCAAUUCAAGUUUCCAUAAAAUUGUACCAUAUUUAAUGUGAGGGUAUUUUAGGAAGAUAGCAAUCUAAAUUUACUUUUCCAACAAAGUUAACUACUUUUUCUUAAACUGUGUGAAAAAAGAAACAGACUAUCAAAAAGUUGUACUAAAAUGCUAGUGAUAAGAAGUUGUAGGAAAGAAGGUGCUAAUUUCUUGACAACAAUAAUUACUUCAAUUAAAUUAAGAAUCUUACAAAAUAUUUAAGAAAGUGAAUAAUUUCCCAGGGUCUCUUUCGAAAGUCGGGUUGCGGUAUAUGCACGUUUCUCUUUGGUUGGUUAAUCUCAUUUUCGCAUUUCUCAACUUCUUUUUUUUUUCAUUUUGUGUUUUGGAUAGAAUAUUAUUUAAAAUAUUAUUUGACAUAUUUACUGUAACACUUUUUGUAAUCUGAUGCUUGUGAGAUGAAAAAGUGGUUAAAAAUAUAAAAAGGUGAGUUGAAAAAUAUAUUUGUGAUACAAAUGAAAUAUUAUUUAAAAAAAUGCAACUAUCCAAGCAGUUGUAAUUGAAAUUGUACUAAUGUAGAAUUGACAUUCAAGUUAUCAUGUCGACAUUUCCUAUGUUUCAUACAAGACUUUUCUUUUCUUCUUUUCAGGUAAGACAAUAAUCGAGUAUCUAUUAUUUGGAUAUAUAUAUAUUACAUAAUAAAAAAUAUUAAAUAUUAUUCUAAAUAAUUUUUUCAAAUAAUCUCCUAUGGGAGUCGUCGCUUUCUACUCCGGCGACCGGGGCGGUGAUGUUACAAGAACUUGUCCUAGUCAGUUAAUGGAGACGCAAGUGUUCGUUGUCAACUCUUUGCCCGCAUCAAAAUAGCACCAAAGGAACAAACUUUCGCAAGAAAGAGCAAUGACAGAAAAGAAAAAUUGCUGCGCUUUCUGUUAACACAUUUUCCAAUCACCUUUUUACUUCACAUAUAUCAAUCGGUAUAGUAAUUUUUCUAUAAAAAAAAUCCAGAAAAAUACAAUCCCAACAAGGGCUAAACUAUCCAAAAUUAAAAGUGGCAAAAAAAAAAGAACAACUAGAUUUUCAAAUGGUUCCUUAAAUUUCAUCUGAUUGAUUUAACUUCUAUGUACAAGCUCGAUAUGAAAGCCGGAAAAAGGAUGCCCUGUAGAUAUUAUAAAACUUCUAUGGUUCCUUUUUUGUGUCUUUCAAAUCCUUACCUAGACAAACAGAACAAUGCCCAAAAUUUAACACUUGAAAAGAGAACCAAAUUGCACCAGAACAAAUGUGCUAGCUUUUAGGCCUAACUUCAAUGCCUUCUAUGAUGAGUCCUCCCUUCAACUGAUGACCCUUAAUUUCCAUCAAACUCAUUGUGAUCUCUUCAUCAACCUCACCACUAAAGAACUCCCCCAGAUUAAUUUCCAUCCAUCCAUCCUUUCUUUCAACUGGCAAUCUUUCAUCACCUUCAUUCACCCUCAUCUUUAACAUCUGCACGCGAUUCGCGUAAAACAGGCUCUGCAUUUGCUGCUUCGUUUCAUCCUUUGGGCGCAAGUAUGCUGUAUUUGUUACCACAUUAUCACCUACGUUGACAGAAAUUUCUGAUGGAAUACAGUCAAGCCCAAAUGAUUGACUGGAAAUUUUCAUGAUGAGAUGAGCACCAUAAGUUGUGUUAGGAGACAACAUCUGUGUUCUUAUCUUGCCUUCGAUUUCUAUCCUAUUUGUUGUUUUCAGCUCAGCCGCCUCGGCAAACCUGCAUAAUCAAGUCAUAAAACUGCAAUUAAUUAAGAUUACUAGACUCGGUCAUAUUUGAUUUUCCUAGCUUAGUCAAGCACUCAAGCGUAAAGUCCAUUCAAAUUCUAUACAUGUAAAAGCGUAUCAAAUUGGGCAAAGUUUACCUUGAUUCUGUCAAGGAUUUCCAGCACCAAUGGUUUGAUUCAUUGCCAUGCAAAAUGGAAAGCUCUCUUGCAGAUAGUGUGAAUGAUUUUCGACCGCUUGAUUUUUCUAAUGCAAAGCUCUGCAAUAGUUUAUAACAAUAAAAAAGUCAGCUCCAGAAGUAAGAUCAUCCCAGUUCUGAUUUAGACUAAUAAAAUAUCUUAUGGACAUUUCUUAGGAAAGGAAAUUUCUUCCGGGGUCUAACCCCACAAGUGGACCAUAUGUGUUCUUGGAAGUCAAUGCAACAAAAUACAUCACCAUUGAGAUGCAAACAUGACUUUCAAUAUGCAGGAAAAACAGUGGGGUCUGAAAUCAAGAAUCAAUCAGUUUGCAUUUGUUCAUAAGUUUCAUUUUAUCAUCAACUAAAUUAGGAUGACACGAACCUGUUUGAUUGCAUAAACUCUUUUACAAAUUUACGUUUAAUAAUUUCAAGAUAUCCCAUGAAUUCAUUUCUCCUGCUGCCCCAAGCGGAUGUUAUAUAUGUUAAAACUUUUCCAGAAUGAUUGAGCAUGACUGAUAAAGGACUAACCUGUUUACCUCCAUCUAAGAGGAUAGAUUCAGAAAACAGAAAAAAGAGCUCUUUCUUGGAAGAGAACUUGAGGGGUUUGAGGGUUCUUGCUAGGAUAUCUCGGUAAUCAGAUGGCAAGAAUCUCUCCCAGACCAAAUCUGAUUCUGCAGCUGAUCGGAAACUGGAAGAAACCAUGGACAACCUGCAUGCAUCUUCAGGAGAUGUGAGGGAGCAAAUUGUGGAAGCGCAGUCUUCUGGCAACAUGUUAAAAUCCAAUUGCGACAUUUCUGAUUCACGAAAAUCAAGAAACAGAAAUGAUCGAAUCCAAUUACAAAACUGAAGUAAAUAUGCUCAGAUUGUUCUGUAUGGAAAAGGCAAAUGGAUUUGCACCUUGGAUGGUCUUCUCUUCUUAUAUAUGUGCCGUGUCAGUGAAAAGAAGCUUCCAAAUUAGGCCCCAUGGCCUUGCCUUGGCUACGUUAACAAUUUGGCUACACAAUAUUGACUGGAACAGGAUUGGCUGGAUUUCUCAGCCCCACUCGGUGGUCUUCGCUUGUAAUUUCCCACCGUCUGUGUGAAAUCUGCUUGAAGUGGAAAAACACGCCCAUAAGGUCAUGAUCCUCUGUUUUUGCCAAUUGCCAUGUUCAAGCAUUGGAUUGGAGAACAAAGAUUCAUUUGAUUUUCGGCCAUCUACAGCAUUCAAAACAAGUGGGACUGCAAGAUUUUUGUUCUUAUCGCUUUAUAGGAAUAAUUUCACAAACCUCCACUAGUGUUUAUGCAAAUUUCACUCAGCUCCCCUUGCAUUUGAAAUAAUUACAUAUUGAUUUGGUGAUUUACCAUAAAAAAGGUUAUAAAGGCUACUGAAACAUUAUAAAAUGCCUUCAAAUAGAAGAAUUAAAACUUAACGAUUUCUAGAAGUACCUCUCUUGAUAAUUCGAUGAAAGUGUUUGUGAAAAUUUGCAGGGUGGCUAGUACUUGUCGAAGGCAUGAAUUGAGAUUUUUUCUUUUCUUUUUUUUUUUUUUUUGAGGAAAAGCCAACUUUUAAUAGCCACUGAAGUAGUAUUUUAUAGGACGACAAACACUGCAAUCAUGUUUGCAUUAUGACUUCAUUUCAUGUAUAAUUUUGCGUAAUAUUUUAUAGACCGACAAGCACUACAAUUAUGUUUGCAUUAUGACUUCAUUUCAUGUAUUACUUUGCAUAGUGUAAGAAGUGUUUGAGAAACAAUUUCAAUGUAAAUUUGUCUAUCUGUGUUUGUUGGUUUUUGGUAAAAAAUAAUUAUGUGCGCCUAUUCUUUAUAUAUAUAUAUAUAUAUAUAUAUAUAUAUAUAUAUAUAUAUAUAUAUAUAUUUAAUGGAUUGCUGGAAAUCGUCUAGUACGAUUGAUAUACAUUGUUGCCCUAAUGAACGAUAAAACAUGCACUAAAAUCAUAGAUUUCAACAUGCACUAAAAUUGUAGAUCUGCAAUUUAACAUAUACAAAAGACCUGAAAAAUUAAGAACAGAUUUAAAAAGUACCAUCAAUUUUAAAAUCAUCUCCUCGUAGAAUAAAUCGUUGCAGCUCACUCUGUGCAUGCUGCAAUUGUCAGAUCUGCUAAUCAACAGUUAUAAGCUCCAAUAAAUAUGGUGAGAUCUGCCGACAUAAAUCUAAAUCUGAAAUAAAUUCAAAAUUAAACAACAAAAUAAAGAAAAAAUAACACAAAAUCUCAUUAGGAACUCCUAUUCUUUUAACCAUGGAGAAGUGAACUAGAAUAACAGAAAUUCUUAAUACUUGGCUAAUCUAGCCCCACUAUAUUCACCUCACUAGGUACUUUCUCUUCCAUACGUAUAUUACAGGUAUUCCAAGAUGCCUCAUUUCUCGUUUACAUUUUGAAGUAUAAAGGAAGGAUUAAUCUUUUAUAUACUGAUAGUAUAUACACCAUCACCAUUAAAUGCAUAAUAAUUCAUCUGAAUUUAAAAUUUAAAUUCAAAUUUGCUCAUGUGUCAUGCAUCUAACCAUGAUAUGGCCAUUCUGAUUUUAUAAUGGGAUCGGUAUCAGGGAAUCACUAAGCAUCAGAUGGUCAGCUGUAAUUAAGCCAAAUAAAGCCCAUAAGUCCAGCAUUCUUGAUAAAAUUCCUUUUCUCCUCCACAUUAUGUCCAGCGUUUUGUACGAAAAAGCUUUUGUCAUUGUCGCAGAGCUAAUGACACAUGAUGAUAUUAAAAUGGAGUAAAAAUUAGUAAAGCAGAAAUAAACAAAGAAUUUCCAUCCAAAGAAAAUUCAAAAGGAACAAAAAGAAGAUAGUACAGGACUCGAAUAAUCUUUUUUAUGUUGUUAAUAGUUUUUUUGUCUUUAUUAAGGUAUUACCCCAGUUUAUAUUUUGUAAUUUGGCCUAAUCUGUUUAAAAUCAUUAAUCCUCACAAAAAAAGUGAUUAUUUAAUUUCGUGAGAGAAUUUAAUUGAUUCAUCAUUCCAUGCAAAAGAAGAAUUAGAAAGGAAAUACAUUCUUUUUUUUGGGUUAGGAGUCCUAAUAUCUUGUGAUCACAUUGGGUCUCGACUAAUUCAGAAUCGAGUAUUGUAAAUAUAUUAUUGAUUCAUUGGUCAAAGAGCCAAACUUUAUCCAUAGUUCCAAACAAAUAAGACAAUGGUCUUUAUCAAGAGCAGCCAACAUAUGUAUAAAGAAGAAGAAGAAGAAGAAAAAUAAAAGACUGCGUAUUCAUAAAGUUUAGGCUUGUGUCAUUUUUGAUCAUCAAUUGACACGUAUACGGAAUUAAGAGCAUAAACCGUUGUCAGAUCAAUCGUUCUAUAACGAUAUUAUAACACCGCCUAAACAAGAUAUAUUGCUUGCUUUUGUUUUGACAAAACUAGAAAAAUAUAUAUAUAUUGUUGAUUCAUUCGAACAUCUUGACUGCAUUUACGUAUGUUUCACGGGUCAGAUGUCUGCCACCAAUCUUUGCCGCAUUAACUCUUCUGUCAAGUUAAUUGAACGCUAAGUGUGUUAAUGCAUGUUGUACAUGCACCCGUUCGAAAAAUCCAAAUUUUAAUGUACCUUUCCACAUUGGUGCCUUAAUGGACAUUUAUUGCAAUAGUGCUUAGACUGCAUGAGGCACUGUACCCUUGUAAGUUGCAGAUCCAAAUAGCGGCGGCUGAAGAAUCAUGGCGAAUUUGUAAGAGGCUUUAACUCCAAAGUGGCCUUUUCAUUUCGUCUAAAAUUUUCUGUUAUCUACAUAAAUUGCUUUCAUUUUCAAGAUAAUUAAGGUGGAUCUUUCAGCUUAAAUAUAAAAUAGAAGAAUCAUCCGAGAACGAAGAGAAAGGAAAGAUGAAUUAAAGCGAUAUACAAGUCAUCAAAAUUUUAUUCAUGAAGGAUAUUUUGAAACAGCAUAAUAAUAUUGUCACAAACCUAUUUUCUCAUGAGUCGAUUGCCCAUGUCAAAUUAUGAACUAAAUAAAGUAAUUGCAGUGCUCCAUUCUUAAUCUCUCUUUACAUCAAAGUUUUCGAAGUAACCUUGCAAUCAUAUGACAUAUAAACUCACAAACAACAAAAAGUUCAAUUUAUAAAUAUGAAUAUUUCACUUGAAAAGAAUUUUGGAGUAAUUUGAAGAUACUUGGUUUAAUCGUUUCUAUGUGACAUUUUUUUUGUUCAUUAGACAAUUGAUUAAAGUAAAGUAUCACUGUCCAUCAAUUUGCUAGGCAUAAUUUCAGAAACCUCCUCCCCUGAGGUUUCUGAUUAUUUCAUUGGCUUCUCUCUAAAAUUUGAAAAUUACAUUAACUUCCCUUGAAAUUUAUUAUUUUAUAACAUCUAGAUUCAACCAAUAAUUAAAAAAGUGAUAUUAGAAGGCAGAAGAUAAUGUAAUUCACCAUUACCCCUCAUCUACUAAAUUAUUUAAUUAAUCUAAUACCAACCCAAACAUUAAAAAAAAUAUUAGAAUUUGUUGUUUAUCAUCAGAGAUUAAAUCACAUAUGGCAUCAAAAUAGCAUAUCAUUAUAUAUAUUUAACUUAAUAUAAGAUCCAAAUUACUCUUUUCAGUUACAAACCCUUCGUCAAACAUGAUCAACAACAGAUAGUCAACAAAAUCUAUAACCAAAAAAUUAUAAAGACCAAACCUUAAUACCAAAAAAAUCUUAGCAACUAAUCUUAAUAUGUUAACAAAAAUAUUUGUGAUGUUAAAGUUUGUUCUUUGUAAUAUUUUGGUUGCAAAUUUUUUGAUUAUUUAUUGUUGAUCAUGUUGACGAUGAAUAUGUAACUGAAAAGCAUAAUUUGAAUCUUGUAUUAAGUGAAAAAAAUAAAAUAAUAUACUAUUUUUUGAUAUUAUAUGUGAUUUGAUCCCUAAUGAUAAAAGGCAAGUUUUAGUAUAUUUUUCUUUAAUGUGUGUGGUAAUUAAUUCAAUAACAUGGCAGAUGAAGGGUAAUGAUGAAAUCAUAUUAUUUUCUCUCUACUGAUAUCACUUUUUAAUUAUUGAUUGGGUCUAAAUGUUACAAAAUAAUUAACCUCAAGAAAGAUUAGUGUAAUUUUCAAAACUUAGAGGGAGGCCUGUGAAAUUAUCAGAUACCUGAGGAGGGGUUUCUAAAAUUAUCCUAGUUUGCUAAGAUAAAGUAUUGGCACAAGAUUUAUACAUCAAAAAAAAAAAAAAAAGUUUUGGCACAAGAUGGAUCAAAUCGAGUUGACGCAGUCAAAGUCAGGUCAAAUUCAAGAUUCGAAUUUUUCUUUGCAAUUUUACAAAUGCUUUGUUGACUACUCAUAUUAAAUAUUUUCGCAUUGUCAUUUUUCACUUUUACAAGUGUUUCACGAAUGUUACUCACGAAAUUAAAUAAUAAAUACUCGAGCUCAGCAAUUUUGAAAGCGCGGAUUUGUUGACCUGUGAAGUAAAGGACCUUUUUUUUCUUCUGGACCUUGAUUUUCCAAAGCGGUACGCAUUCUCGACUUUCCUUGCCCCUGCAUUUGCCAUCAACUUGCAAUAAUAUCUGCAUGAUCCGACUCGCGCGAUGCUGGCUGUCCAUUUGCUGCUUCUUUUAGCCUUAUCGGCUGCAAAUAUGAUAAUGAAAAACAUGUUGAUAAUGUAAGCAAGUCAGUGUGUAAAUAAAGCGUAAAUAAUGUGUAAUCUAAACAAACUCUCUAUUUGCGGCUUCCACGAAAGCUGCAAUUCCUGAUUGUGGUUCCAGUCUUGAAGAUUUGGUUCUCCAUCUCUUUUGCAAACUACGGUUUGAGUUGGCAUUUGUAUAACUUCCAUUGCAGGUUGGAUAGUGAAUUAUUUGUCACAAUUUAUUUGCUUGUAUCAUCAAUAUAUUUUCUAAUCACCUUUUUAUCCCUUAUAGAGUAUAUUAAAAAAGCGCUAUAUUAAUUUUUUUUUCAAAAAAUUAUCCCAAUUAAUAUACUAUCCAAACACACUUGUACGAUGUUUUCCCUGCUCUUUGAAUAUGCUCGUUGUUGAUUAUCUGUCCCCAUGCAAACUAAUAUAUACUAAAAAUAUCUUUUGUUUGGAUACCUCAUUUUUCCAAAUAAUAUUUCACUUGUAUCAUAAACACAUUUUCCAACUUACCUUUUUAUAUUUUCAAUCACCUUUUUAUCUCACAUACAUCACAUCACAGAAAAUGCAACAGUAAUUAUUCCAAACUGAUUAAUAUAACAGAUUAUACCAUUUAUAGAAUGAUGAAACUUUGUUGCUUAUAUACCAUUUUUAAUCUUAUCCUUUUUGCUGUUCGUGACUCUAUAAUUUCCAACUUGCUCAUUCUUGGUCAUGUACUUCCAUGCAAACAUAUGUAUCUUAUUAGAUACUUUGCCAAAUUUUGUUUCCACGAAUAUGCUCAUUGUUGGUUAUGUAUUUCCCCAUGCAGAUUAACAUAUCUUAUUACAUACCCCGUCAGUUCUUAUAGAAUAAUAAGCCUGGCCUCUAUGACUUAUCUACUGAAGCACGAAAAGCCUCGUUUUUUAUGGUAAACUACCAAUUCAAAUUAAUUGCCAGAUCCAACAAAGAUUCUACUUGGCGUAUUGCUCUCUGCUUCUCAUGCUGCUUCAACAUCCUGGCAACAGAUUCAGGAUCAAGCCCUUCUUCAUGUUGUGCUUCAGUCUGCUGAGAACGAACUUCUUGGAGCAAUGCAGCAACCUCCCUGACAAAAUCUACCCUUAAGAGAACAUUAUCGGCUUCGACAGGCAUAGCUGGCGCCAACGGUCCUUCAUGCUGAGAGAACACACAAUUCAAGCAAAAGGAACAUCCAAUCAAAGGAAAGAUGUCAUGGGCAAGGUUUAAGGUCUGGGAUAUACACACACAUCUCAUUACCAAAUUAAUUAGCAAAUUAUAAUGUCCAAUGCUCACGCUACAUGAUUAAAGAAAAAUAAAUGAAGCCAUAUUGGAGCUCCUAUAACAAGAAUAAUAGCAAUAACAGUUAUAAUAUUGAUAGCAAAGCACAUACCAUCGCCGCAUCAAAUCCUGAAAGGAUAAGAUGUGGAACAGAGAUCCAACCAUGAGUAUAACAACAUUCUAUGUAAGAGAUCGAGUACAAAGAGUGAUUCACUACAAGAACUUCUGAAGUUUCCCAUCACGUUCUAAUCUCUAAAAUUAUGAUUCAUUUGGAAUAUAUUAAGCAGCUGUCAACGCUAUACCUUAUCAAUGUCAAAACCAGCUGGUGCAAGGAUAGUAAAUGGGUCCUCCCGUGGAAAGGUAUCAAACAUUCGCUUUUUGCAUGCCUUUAGCCAAUCUUGAUCAUCAAAUCCAUCAUGCAUAUUUAAAAGAUCAUUAAGCAACCUCAUGGCAGGUGUAGCCUCCCGUUUCAAAAUCUCAGUCUAAGAUGUAUGCAAAACUCGGUUAAUCAGAUACCAAAGAUAGACAAAAAGAGGAAAAAACCGCUAAAAAAGAGUACCUAAAGAAAAACGAAAGAGACAUCCAAACAUGAAGCUAGGGCACAUCUUUUAACGAAUGUGGAGUAAACUGCUGGUAAACAAUGACCCUAAAUUCAUGAUAAUCAAGAAGCAGAGAUACAAAUUGGAACAAAUUUGUUUUAAUGUGUUGUUCUUAUCCAAACAUUAUGCCUACAACUGCAACAAGAUUGUACCCGCUUAAAGUUAAAGUGCAUUUCAUCCUGGUAUUUGGGUUUUUCUUAUAUGUGAAGAAUCAUUUCAGAUAGUGAAAGGCAUAGAAUUAGGUCAACAAAAACCAACAAGUUCUAGAGUUCAACCUUGCUCAUGUUCUAUAUAAGAGUUAUAGGACAUGAGCUGAAUCAAGUUAUAACCCCACAAUUCAUGUCACAGUCACUGAUUAAGUUCCAUUCAUCCAAGCAAGACCAAGAGAGGAAACUCAAUAGAAAUAUCACAAAAAUCCUGUACUUUGUGUCUAAUGCAGCCAGUUAGUACAAUUUUAAUACCUCAACCCGCCUGUACAAGAGAUCAAGACUUCGAACUGCAUCUUUUUCAUCCUGGGAAGAUGUAUGAGUAAUCAAUCACUAGUUUCACAGCUGAUCAGAUAAGAAGAACAAAAUAGGAGAGACAGCUAUAUAUAUAUAUCAGAAAAUGCUUCACAGAUGUAAUUUUAAGUCCUUUAACAACAUUGUGUGCCACUGCAAUAUGUUUGCUGGUUAAAGAAUAUUUCUUCAAGGCAGUAGGAUGUAAUAAAUAGGUGCUCUUGCACUGAAUUGUUCAGAUAUCUUUCAAUAAUUAACUACUACUUAGAUUCCAUCAGAAGAAGUGUCAUGAUGAGAUCCCUGUUAAAAAUUCCAGAGGGCAGUAGCAGAAUAUUUUGUCCAGUACAGCAUAUGCCACCUUAAAGGAAAACCAUAGAUAACCAGGAAAAGUUGCAAUAAGUGAAAAACGUACAUCACGCCGAGCAAGAUCAAGCCGAUUCCAUAUGACCAUCAGAACAAUUUCAUUAAGCUCCCCUUUCUCAGCAGCUUCCUCAAUUUUCUACUUGCAAAGACCAACAAGUAGUAUCAAUAUGUUUUCAAAACACAGGAAGAAAGGAAGAUACUACUUGCUACAGAAAAACCUCCAACUUUGUGAAUAAUUAAGAAAUAGCUUAGGUAAGCCUAUAAACUUGUAAGACACUUGCUCAAACUCGCUCUUGCCAGAUUAUCACAGAUUGGAGACCAAGGAGGCCCAUCCUAUUAUCAACUGAUUAUACAAUACAUAGUGAUAUACCUCUUCCACUUCCUCAGCUGAUUUAAUAAAGCUGGCAACCAGUUUCUUGGCCUUGAGAAGCUCUUCCUGGGGAUAGUCUUUCAUCCUCAAUCCAAUCUCCCUGUAUUCUUCAACCUUUCUUUCUUCUUCCUCUUCCUCCUCUCUACGCUUUUGAUGAAAUUCCUUAGUUUUCUCACGUUGCCGGGCUUGCCAUUCCUAACCUGAUAAAAGUUAGACCCCAGCUCUCAAACAACACCUAAAAUGACUACAUUUUUAUGCAGGUACACGCACUAUUCACCAACUAAAGCUUUUAUUUUUGUUUUGUUUUUCUUUUCAAAAAACAAAAUUUAACCCAGUAUGCAAAUUGCACUGUUAACCAAAGAUAACAAAAUAUAAACCUGAAAUCAGAUACUCAAGAACAAAAAGAGAGAGAGAGAGAGAGAGGGCAAUGCACAUACAUCAUCAUAAAACUCUUUGGGAAGCCCAUAAAGGUCUUGCUCUUCUACGUUCUUGCUCCUACAGACCGCUGCUUGGCGAACCAACCCAAAAAAGGAAAAAAAGAAGAGUAAAAAUAAUUAGAAAGGAAAAAUGAGGAUCGGGGUAAAUUGCCAAAGCAAAUAGGGGGAUACAAACCUGGGGUAGGGGGGAGCCUGAUCCUUUCCAAAGAAGUUGGGCAUAAAACAGGAGUUAGAGUUGUGCAAAGGGCAGGAGUGGAUGGCGGCAAAGCCGAGAAGAUGGGAGUAGGAGCGCCACCUAGCCGCAAAACUGCUGCUUCCAUUUGGGAGUCGCCUAGGGAAGAAAUUAAAGAGUAUUAUUGCUGCGGUUCUAGAGUUAUAUCACUAAAUCUUUCCAUUUCCAGUCGUAAUUUAAAGAAAACACUGACACUCUAAAGCUAGGAACUCGACUUCCAGAAAAUGAAUUUCAGCUGAAAUUCAGGAGACAUGCUUACAGUGAAAUAGAUUUUGUGGAAAUCUGGCUUCAAAUUCUUGAGGAAAUGGAGCUAUUUCGCUGCUGAAUGAAAUAUUUACAGUGGCUCAGAGAUGAUGAAGAAGGCGAGACUAGGAACACAAGGCAGCUAGACUUGCACCAAGCAAAACUCAGGGAAGGCGCGAGUUAGCAGAGGCUAGGCCUUGAUGGCGAAGGAAGCUUUUUCUAGAAUUGUGUUGGGCCGCUUCGCUUUUUGGUAGAAAUACGGGAGUGUUUGGAUAUAAAACUUAUCUCAAAUAAUAUUUCGCUUACGUCAUAAACACAUUUUCCAACUCAUCUUUUUAUAUUCCCAAUCAUUUUUUUAUCUCACAUACAUCACAUCACAAAAGUGCUACAGUAAUUAUUCCAAAUAAUACCCUAUAUUGAGAGGUGUUUGAUAAGUGAUGUUGGUGCAAAUGGAAGGGAUUUGAAUCCUUUAACCAUGAAAUUUCGAGUUCAAAAAUCAUGGAAAUGAAAAAAAUAACGUUGGGAGAACUUCCCUGCAAGGGAUCCGACCCAAUUCGAACAGGAUUAGUCGCAGAUCGUAAAACGGACGCGGACACCUGUGGGUUAUACCUAAAAAAAAAAAAUGAGUUUCAAGACAAGGACUAUUUCAAUCAUGUUUUUUUUUUCUUGAAAGGUCAAUUAAUAGUUUCAUAAAUCCCUUCUAUUGAUUUUAUUAUUAAUUACUAUAUGGUAGGGUUUAACUUAUCUAUUGUUUUAUUACAUAAAUUCAUUCUAAAAUCACUCUAUGGGUUAUAAUUAAACUCAAUAUUAUUCUCCAAUUUAUUUAUACCCAUAGUGUUAAUAAUUGUAGAAUUUGAACCAAACAGUCCUUUUUUAUUGCACUGGAUAAAGUGCUUAUUAAUAUAAUAUUGUUUGGAUAUGUGUACAAGUAUAUCAUUGGUGCAUACAACUUAUUUCAUUGACUAAUAGGUAACUUUAAAAUGUAAUUAUCUCUUUAUUCAACUCAUAAUUCGUGAUGAAUUACCAAAGUUGAUAUUUUAUGUGUUGAAAAAUAGAAUUUAUUCAAGAAAAGCACCAAUUGUUUGCUUUUGCUAAAAGUGCUCUUGAGACCUUAUUCUCGUUUGUUUUAAAUUUUGUAAUAUCUGAUUAUGAAAAAUGAUUAUAGAGAAUAGUGAAAAUAAACAAAAGUUACUUUUUGAUGCAUUAUGAAUUCUAACUUUUUUGGACCAUUAAAAAUCUAUAAUUUAAAUACAAAAGUAAAAGACAACAUUUAAAAAAUUAAUUAUUUAUAAUCAGAAUCUAUAAAUGUUUUUUAGUUAUGUACCAAAUUACUAAUUCACUUUUGUACAUUGCUCUUUGACAAACAAUUUCAACAUGCAUUGCCACACUUAGGGUCCGUUUGUUUCGGGUGAAAAUGUUUUUCAGGAAAAUAUUUUCCUAAUUUUCCGUGUUUGGUUGCACAAAAGUUACUGAAAACAUUUUCCUAUGUAAAAUAUUUUCACUCAUCUUGUGGAAAACAACUUCCCUUCCAAACUUACUGAAGUUGUUUUCCGAAAUGCAUGCAUCCCGCCUGUAGUAUGUUCCAAACUUACUGAAAAUCUUGUAAUAUGUUCUUUUUUUUUUUUUAGUAUAAACAGACGGAUUCGAACCCAAGAUCUCUUCCUUACACUCCCUCCCCUGUACCACCCAACCCAACCCAACCCUCCCCCUAGUAUAUUUAAAAUUAAAAAAAAAACCUCAUUCUGCUCAUCCUAUGCUAGUAAUUAAUUGUGUAUAAUAGGGACAUUCUUUUCUAGAGAAACUUUCAGCAGUGAGAGUGCAAGAUAUAUGUCACAAUAAGUAUUGCAUGUGAUUGAUAUUUGACACUAAAUGGCCAGCAAUUUGUUUAUUGCUUAAGGAGAUAUUUUUUAUUCAUAUAUACAUUUCUCCAAGAUUUUUUAAAGUUAAACAAUGAGAUAAAUUUUCUUAUUUUGCAUGGGAAGAAGUAUGUAGUUAUAAUGUGUAGAAAGUAAAGAUAGAGAUAAAAGUGAAAAUAUUUCAAAAGUUAAACAAACACCAGAAAAAUGAAGUAAGAAAAUAUUUUCAAUAAGCUAACCAAACACCUGAAAAUGAUGAAAGGGAAAUGAUUUUCAUGAAAAAUUACUUCCACGGAAAAUAUUUUCCCAAGAAAAACAUUUUACUUCCAACCAAACAGACCCUUAAGUGAGUCGUUUUUACCUAUUCUCGUGUAGUGUUUUGAAAAUAUUUCUAAAUACAUGUACCAUCGUAAUAAAUUUUUAAUCAAACUUUCGAUUUGUUUUUGAAGCAAAAUGAAUUAUUGUCAUCCAUUUGGACCUUCAUAUUGUCUUCAAUCUUAAUAUUACCUUGGCUUUGCCACAAAAACAAUGACUAAAAUGUAGAAAGCCUUUUUUCUAUCAAUUUUUCAAAAAAAAAAAAUCAAUAUUAUCAACAAUAGCAUGAAAUCUCAAUCCUUUUCCAACAAAUUGUGGAGAAAAUUAAGAUAGAUUGAAUGCCAAAGAAAAAAAAAAAAAAAGGGAUGGGGCUAAGAAUUCUGGGUCGGGGAUGAUGGGCCUUGAUCCAUCGACAUAAUUUAAUUUAUGUUCGGACGAAAAUGCCCUUACAAUUUCAUCAAAUUUCACCUCUGCAUCUAGGGUUUAGAUAUUCUUCAACAAGCGUGUAUUUGUAGGCAGCGAAACCCUAGUUCUUGCGGCUGGAGAGAUACAGAGAGGAGGAAAAAUGGUGUCGCUGAAGCUUCAGAAGCGCUUAGCAGCAAGCGUACUCAAGUGCGGGAAGGGAAAGGUGUGGCUUGACCCGAAUGAAGUCAGCGAAAUCUCCAUGGCCAAUUCCAGUUAAGCAUCAUCCUCUACUAAUUUUGCCGAAAUAUGGAACUUUUUUUUUCUAUAUUUUUAUGAUAUUCUCUUAUUUUCUUCCUAAUUAGUGUUCAUUUGACAAAUUUUCCUAUUUUUAUCCGGAUUUCGUAGGUUUUGUUUUCAGAAUAUGGAUUUGAAUUUGUGAAAAAUUGGAUGGUUUAGUUCCAGGAUUCCCUUUUUCGGGGGAAAAUUAGGUGUAGUCUAGGAGGGGCUUGACCAUAAUUGAUUGGUUCUGGGCACAUGAAUCGCUCUGCGAUACUCAUCUACCUGGCCAGCCUAGUACAUCGUCUGCUGCUGACCCCAAGGAGGAUGAUUUCUGCUUUGGGAUAAAUUACUAAUUCAAAGAUUAUCUUUUUGGUGUGAAAUAUCUUGUCAAACUAUUUGAUCAGUGUAGCCCUUGAGUUUGGACGACUUUCUGCUUGGAUUUUCUUUCAGAGGUGUCAUCAAUGGCAAGCUAAAGCCUCUGGGUGCAUUCUGUUGCUUUAUGUUGUUUGACUUAUUCAUUUGGGAGUUUAGAGUUUAUCAAUCUUCUUCUGGACAAGGAUAAAAUGUUUGGGGUUGGAAUUGCAACUGGGGUUUUGAUAUGCAAUUACAAUUUGUAGCCUUUUUCUCUUUUCUUUUUGGUUUAGCUUUUCAAGAGGUACAGUUUGGCAUGAGAUUUGUGAAGAUCGGUUUUAACAUGGGGUUGAGGUGGUAGUGCUCAUGCAAUCAAAUUGGUUUUGAAGCAGUUCCAUUUAGAGUGUAAGACUUGAACAAGGAGAACUUGGUGGGAUGACCUGGUGUGGUUUUCUGUUGCAGCGAUGGUAGGUAAAAUUCAAACUGAAGAGAAAGAAUGAGGAAUAUGGAGGAUAAAGAAGGAGAAAUUGCUACCUAAAAGCUUGUUCUUUUCCCAGGUUGAAUUAUCUAUGCAGUCCAUGUUUCUUUGGACAAUGACUACGUAUGAUAUUACCUUUAGUACAGGAUGGCUAUAGAAUUAAAAACUUAAAAUAUCUCCAUCAUAUACUUGAUAGAUGAUGUUGAACGUGUUCUCAUACUUGCUAUUGUGCUCUUCUUGCAAGCACCUUUGAAUGAGUUGAUUUCAGUUCUCGUGUUUCAUAAAGUUUCUUCAUACUAAGUGUUCUUCUAUAUCGUGGCAGUUUCAUUCUUAAAUAGCAUUUAUUGGACUAACAUUAAAUGGAAACUGAGCUUUUGUUUCUUGCUAAUUGGUUGUGCUCAUGGAUUGAGUGACACUUUCAUCCUUUGGGUGCAGGGCAAAACAUUAGGAAAUUGGUCAAGGAUGGGUUUAUUAUUAGAAAACCGACAAAGAUUCAUUCUCGCUCUCGUGCACGCAGAAUGAAGGAGGCGAAGAGAAAGGGACGCCAUUCUGGAUAUGGUAAUUGCUGUUGAUAAUAUUGUGGAGCAUUUUGCUCUGUCCUCCUCUUUUCAUUACCAUUGUCGAGCAGUUGCUGGCAUGUUUAUGCACGUGUAUCCAGUGGAUAUGCUGCAUUAUAACUUCUUAAACUGGAAAUGUCUCCCUCACUUUUAAAGCAGUUUUUGUGGAUGACUGAUUAUCAAUGUUCUAGGUAAACGCAAGGGUACAAGGGAAGCAAGGCUUCCUACAAAAAUCCUCUGGAUGAGGAGAAUGCGUGUCCUCAGGCGUUUGCUUCGGAAGUACAGGGAGGCCAAGAAGAUUGAUAAACAUAUGUAUCAUGACAUGUACAUGAAAGUGAAGGGUAAUGUCUUUAAGAACAAGCGAGUGCUAAUGGAAAGUAUCCACAAGUCAAAGGCUGAGAAGGCAAGAGAAAAGACAUUGUCUGAUCAGUUUGAGGCCAAGCGAGCCAAGAACAAGGCAAGCAGGGAAAGGAAAAUGGCCAGGAGAGAAGAGCGUUUGGCCCAGGUAUGUUUGGCAUUUGAAACCAAAAUUCUUUCAAUCUAAAGCCACAAAAUCUAUUCUUUCCCAGGUUAUUCUCUGUAUCCACAGUGCUUUUCAUGCCUUUGCGUUCUAUUAGUAUUUGUUUAGAAAUUCGAUUGUUGAAUAUCAUGACACAUUUGAUAUUUAGUUUAAAUGAUGCUGGCUAUUUAAUCAUGCUCUUUCCAAGUCUAAAAGCAAGUUAAUUCAUUAUGUUACAUAAUGCCAUGCGGAUUUGUCAAUGCAUUUUGUCUUUAACUUGUUAACUGGAUAUGCUCUUUAAUUGGUGACUCUGUGCAGGGACCUGGGGCAAAAGCACCACCAGCACCUACUUCUCAGCCAACAGAGUGAGCAAUUAGUCCUUCAAACAUGGUAUAAAGUAAUCAUUCUUGUAUGCGAUUUUACUAAGAAAUACUAAUUUUCUUCUUGCAGGGGAACAAAGAAGUCGAAGAAGUGAUCUGUUGGAAUUAAUUAUAUAUGGCCGUGCUGAAGCCACCUAUUUGGCUAGUCAAGUUUUGUCUAGUUUCAUGUUACUUUUAUUCCUAAAUUAUGGUCAAGGACCUCUCUAUAAACUUGGAAGUUUGUUUGUAAGUUCAGAUUGUUUUUGUUGGUGAAUGGUGAAACUUAUUUCUGUUUACUAAUUGAACUCGUAUUAGGUGUGAGUUUAUUCUGCGAGACUCUUGAGAUUUUUACUGAAUGCGCUUUCCUUAUUUUCAUUUGUGCUACUGGUACCCAGUACCCACCAACCCGUUUUCUUCCUUUUUUCCUCCCCUCAUCCCAAGUCUUAAAGGCCUUAGCUUCUGUAACCAAAGACUUCUCGUCUGAUAAUAUGGCGUCAAGAUGAGUUUUAACUCUGCUAAUUGAGACAUAGUGACGAGUAAGUUUUUUGUCGCGUAAAUAUUGAGAAGAGGGAACCUCUGUUGGUCUUGAACUUCCCAAGACAUUUGUACAUUUUGACUGGCCUUGAGAUGACGGAAUACACAUGGAGAGAUGGAAGUUUAUGACUUUUUAUGGAAGCUUAAUUCUGGUGAAUUUUAGUCCAUCAUCCAAAGUAAGAUUUAGACAGUAAUUCGCCAUUGAAGAGCCAUGAUUAUGUUGCAUGCCCAAGUCCAAUACUUUAUUUACUACUGCACAAGUCUUGCCCUGCUUGGUAAGCAUAUGAAUGUUGGCGCUGCAUCUCCUAAAGAUACUAUAAAUGAUCAAAUCCAUCGAUCAAAAAACUCUGCUGGGGCGGCCGGAAAAGUCUAGCUUCAUUCUGCAACUCCCUUUACGCUAACAUACUAAUCGAACAAGAACUCUUUUAUGCUGAAAGAGUUGUUGGUUCUCCUUGUGGGAUUAAAAUCUUUAGUUGCUGAAAUGAGGUCCCUCGAAGUGAUUUCAAUAAUCUAUGAGACCAGAUGCUUCAUGGGAAUUUUUUUGACUUUUCUUUAAAAGUGAACUCUUUUCAGUUAGCCACCUUAAAACAGAAUAAAGCAUCGAAUCCGGUAAAGAGCGCGUGAAAUCGUUAUUCCAAAGUUCGUGGAUUGUGGCGCCUUUUACCCACCGUUAGCCAUUAGGCAACUGUCAUACGCGCCUUAUCAUCUCUCUCUGUAAAGGUUUCUGCUUUCGUAGGUUAAUGGCAACAGCCCACAAUUUGAAACCUGCAAUUGUAGUCUCCAGCAUCCCUUUUCCCCAAUGCUCUUCAUUUACUAGUACAACUCCCCAUCUCUCUAGAUUCUUUGGUACUGACCUUUCCAAAAUUAGCCGCCCACAAAAGCUGCUGCCAUCAAUGCUGCUUCUGUCAAGGAGACGAUUGGCUCUGCCUUCAGUUUCUGGAAUGUGGGAGGCCUUGACCGGCGGUAGCUCAGCUCGUGAAGCUGUGAUGGCAAUUAGACGUGGAAUGCUUCUCUUCAGACAGGUAGUUUUUGGUACUUUCUUUAAUUUUUUAUGCUAAUUGAAUUCUUAUUUAUCUUGGUUGAUAAUCUUAUCUCUGUCAGUUGCAAUGUUUGUUUGGUUGAAGGGUGAUGUGCUGGGGUCGUUGGUGGAAUUUGACAGGGCAAUUGAACUUGAUCCUCGACAGAAAGCCCGUGAGUCAACCGUAAUAUGGGAUAGCAAAAACAUAAAUGUGUACAAUUUAACCCCAAAAUGAUCAGUUUACAACGGCAAUCAAACUAAUGGGAAAUUCGAAGUGAAUGGUUUUUUGAAAUUCACUGGGAUUUCGGAGAAGUAUAUAACCAGCCGCUGACGUUGUGGGUUUUAACUAAAUAUGUUGUUGUCCGGAAUUUAUGGCGAAUAUCCAACACCGUCAUGCAUCAAGCGUCCAACUUCUCUGUCUUACUUUGUAUAAUUUUCAAAGUUUUAUGCUAGGGGUUGUGCAGGGUUGAUUUCCCGAGUUUUGAUGAAUGUUAAGAUUUGUGGAAAAGCUUUUGGUUAUAUAGUAAUUUAGGUGCUUUUUAUGACUAAUCAGAUCUUUGGCAGAGGGGACUGUCGUUAUACUACCUUGACAGGUAUUGGAUUGAUUUAUUACCUGCGCUUUGCAUUUUGAUUCUUUUCUCUUUGCUCUCUAGCUAAGAUCUUUACUUCAUUCUCCCUAGGUUUGAGGAAGGUGCAGAGCAGUUUCGGUUGGAUGUUGCUCAAAACCCAAAUGAUACAGAGGAAUCAAUAUGGUGUUUCCUUUGUGAAGCUCAAUUAUAUGGAGUAGAUGAAGCAAGAAGAAGGUAUCUUGAGGUAAAUCAACAAUUAGCAGCUCGAUUCAGAACCGUCGUAUCCUUUCCAAGAAGGAAGAUUUUAGAUGACCGUAUGUGCUCGUUAGAGUCAUUUUAGACACGUCAUCUAGAUUAAGAGAACCUAAAGGGCUGCUAAAUAUUUAGAUUUCAAUAUGCACUAUGCUCUCUUGGACAUGUUGCAGCCGCAGCCUGGAACUACUACGUGUAAAAUACUUUAGUCUACUCCUUGAGGUAAUUUUGUCUUUGAAAAACGAAAGAAGAUUCAAGCUUUUAAAGACAUUUCUGGGUUUAAUUCUGUUUCCGAUUUUCUGAGCCCUUCAUAAGACAUUUUGGCUUCCAUCUUUUCACUUGAACUGAUAAGUACUGCAUUUGAACAGUUUAGUUAAUACAUGCAGGUUGGUAGAGACCCUCGUCCUGUCAUGAGAGAGGCAUACAGCCUGUUCAAGGAUGGUGGUGAUCCAGAAAAGGUCUGGACUGAUGUUGGUUCCAGUUUAGGAUAACUAAUCAAUCUGUAGCUCGUCUAAGACCUUGAUUUUCCUUGGGAAUACAUAAAAAAAGUUCUAUUUUUCCUGAAGUUAAGUGCUAAUUAAAUUGUUACUUGGGAGUAGAUUCUUCCAUACAAACAGUGUGUUUUGUACAUGGUUACUUUAUCACCUAAUUGAUAUGGGGAUACUCUUAGUCUAUGUGUCUAAGCUAUUCAGGGCAAUGCUUUAGCUAAUUAACCGAUUUCUUUGCAUAGCUUGUGGCUGCAUUUUCUGGCGGACGGGAGAAUGAGUAUUUCUAUGCUUCUCUAUAUGCUGGACUUUAUUAUGAAUCCCAGGUAUUACAGUUGCGGUCCUAAAACAUUCUUCCAAUUUGUGAUUUAGGUAUCAUCAGAGCCUUCUGCAAUAAGUUUAGAACAAGAACUUUUGAGUAGUGUAGGUGUUGAUUCCAAGAUAUAUUGAGGGCUGAUGAAAUAACUUUACGUCAUGUUGACCUUUGCAGCCUUGAUAUAUUUCUGCAAUGAAAUGUUUCCAAAAGUAGCCCGUUAAUGAAACUUUCGUGGUCAUAUAAUGUAUAAACAUUGAAGGAAAAUGACACACAUUUAAUCAAUUGCUUAUACAAUGUUUGCUGUAUCUAAUCACUUAAUCACUUAGUGGUUUAAGGGAACAGACAAAUAAGGUGGUCCACUGAUCACAAAGGAGGAUGUCGUCCAAGUACUCUUCAACAUUGACACUUUGAACCAUCAUAUUCGGUGCACAUUCUGUCACUCAGUUGUUGGCUAUCCUACUUGGGUGACACUUGGAGCACCCCUUUGUUAAACUAAGAUUUACCAAUAGAGACUGAACAAGUUUAUUUCUAUGCUUGAUGUUCUACAUGGAAGUGUUAUGCUGUAAUUGUGAAGGUCAAUUACUUGCCUCGUUACUAUGUUUGGAAGGUCAUUAGCAUGCAGUUUUCUCUUACGCAGGACAAACAGGAUGAAGCAAAACGUCACAUUGUUGCUGCUUGUCAAUCUCCUUAUGGACUCAGGUCUGCUAACAGAAUAUCUGCCCAUAGUCUAUAAUUUGCUCAACUUAAAGCUUCAUUUAAAUGGUAAAAUACCAAAAUUUUUUUAUUCUUUGGUAUCCCUCAGGUCCGAUGACUACAUGGCUUCUCUUGCCAAAGUGCAUUGCCUGUGUAGAAAUUGGGGCUCCACUUGAGAAUACAACCAUGACCCGGCAAGGUUUGAUCAAUAUUUUCCUGAGUGCUUUCAACAGAUUCUGAUUCUAGGUUCCCUAUGUAUUGCUUCACUUGAUUAGGAGGACGCAAUCAGGAUACUAUUGGAAAUGAAUCUGAAGGAUCUCCUUAGCGUACAUCACGUAUGAUCUUCAGGCACCUCAUCAUAGAAACCUGAGCUCUACGAUCUGUUGUUAAGAAGGGUCCAUAGACCUCAUCGUGGAAUUUUACUCGUGACUUCUUACAGAAUAUCAAAAUCUUCUGUGAGGAGGGGAUAUAAAAACCAUUGCGUAUGCUGCAUCACUCAGUUGUUGCAGAAAGUACCAUAGAUGAAGUUGUUUCGCGCAAGUUCAAAGAACACCUCGUUAGGAAUUUCUGUAUUGUGUAAUAUGCCUAGUACAUGCUCUAUCAGUUGGUGGUUAACUAGCUCAAUUCUGCAUAUCUAGUGGCUUCAUACACGCAGAUGUGUGAAUGUAUCAUGUAAAUAUUUUGAUUUCGAUAAAUAUCAUGCAUUACAAUUUUGCACCUUUCAGAAAGCAGAAUACUUGCAGUGCAGCAACUAGCAACUAAAGAGGAAGAUAACUGACGAAACUGGCUUCUUGUGAAUUGUGAUUGUGAUUGCAGGGCUUCUUUUUCUUUUGCUUUUCCGUAGGACAAUUGGCAUCACCAGUUUGUAAGACCAAAACAAAUAAGCAGGAGGGGCCGUGAGGAUUUGUGUAUUCAUCUGCCUGAGCUUCUUUAAUCUCCUCCUCCUUUUCUCCUGUCUUGUUUGAGAAAAACAUGACAGUUUAAGCAAGUCAUAGUGAUUCGGAGGGAACUGUAACAAUCUCAUUAUCAUCGUUUAGAGGGCUUUUGUAUUCUGCCACCCAAAACCAUAAGCAUAUCAAAGAAAGCACAAAUCAUUCUAAUGCAACAGCUCUUUUUCCUUUAAUAUGGUCUAAUUCGUGUAAUUGAACCACGAUUCUACACUUAAUGGAUGCUUUCUGGUCAAUUCUUAAUUGUUCCCUUUAAGGUUAUGAUGAUAUAAAAUCUUGCUCAUUAUGGACUCUAUCUAGAAUGGAUGAACGCUACAGCUGAGCUGAACAAUACCAAGGCUUUGUCCAUCUCUAUCUGUUCUUUCUACUCUUCAAUUUGCCGUCAUUUCACUCAAACCAAAAUUAUUUCUUUGAGGGUUGCAUAAAUGAGCAUCUCACAAGAAAGUACUCCGUAGAUAUUGGCUGGAGUGAAAAGUGAAAAGGGUCUUCCCUAAUGGGAAAGGAAAGGCCAACAAUCAAGCACUUCAAUUAUAAUAAUAUGACUAGGAAUCUGGAAUAUGCUCUUCAUGAUACAAAAUGAAUUUUGCUUCUUAUUGAUUUGGCUCUUCAAGCUAUUCUAAAGGUAGGAAAUAAAGAAAAGACAGUUUAAGUUAGGACGUCUUUGCCAUUAUGUACAUCAAACACUAUAUACUACUAUUUAUUUUCAUCAUUUAUGUUUCUAGUCCUAAUGAUUUUAAAUGCGAAACAUGAGCUAUAAAUUACCUCAAAACAUUAAUAAGCACUGCCUGCCUAGGUCCCCAUAAUUAGAAUGUGGCAUGCUAGUAUUCUUUUUGUUUGAAUGUUAUAUUAAAGCAUGUUAGCUUAAAAUUUUCUAAUGCCCUGUAUGAUUCGUACAAAUAUCACUACAGAGUUUUUUUUUUUAGUUAAUUUUUCUCUAAUAGGAGAGGGGGAUGGAAUUUAAAACACUGGAAAAGGAACAGUAUGACUCGUUCUGAAAGCUAAUUCCUCGAUGCCUAUAAUUUUUUAAAUCUCGACUUUAAUCACUUAACUGUAAAGUUAUCCCCACACAAACUAGCCUAAACUUUUGUUACAUUAUCCUAGGAAUUCUUGCUGUGUGCACACAACAACAAUCUAAAUAGUUGAUGGCAAUAGAAGAGUUUGUGUAUCAUAUCCAUUCUGAUGAUUAUCCUGCCCAUCUCCAUUAACAUAUAUGCACACCAAAUUUCCCUCUCAGCACGCAAUAUUAUAGAAUCCCUUUAGUGUUUGGUGGGAGAUGUUGUUACUUGCGGGUGGAAAACAUAGGAAUCGGUUGGCUAAUUGAGACAGACUACUAAAGGAUUGGAUCCAAAGAUUAUUACUAAAAUACUAAAGGCAUAAAAGGGUACCUAACCAUGAAAAGCAAUAUACAACCUUUAUAGCAUAUUCUCGGUUGUAAGCACAAAAAUAUUGGAUAUUCCGUACUGGAUUCUACUCGGCACGUUCCGUAUUCGACAAUUCAUUCUUGAAAUGACUACAAUUGAUUCAUUGUAGCCUUGAGAGUUUACACUUUCAGUCCCAGCCCCCACUUUCAAGAAAUUUGACCUUUUCCUUUUUUGAGUGAUUGGAACUAGCCGAAAUCUGAUUCAGCAGACAUGCUAGCUCCCUUCAACAUAUGAGAAUAUUCCAAAUCAAAUUCCAAUGCCAUUACUUACUUUAAGGAACCUUCUAUGCCAUGCUGUUUGUCAUGAUGGGGUGGGAGGUCAAGAUUAUACUUGUCAUUUAAUCGUGAUUGUUGCUUUUAAGUGAUUUUUUUGGACGGAACUCCGUCGAUUAGACUCCCACUUCCCUUAUGUUAGACAUGAAUAGGUUAUACAAAUGUUAUCGUUGCAAUAAAAAAAUAGUAACAUUUCUGUACUUUUAAUGUUGUCAUUUCUUUUAUAUAAUCACUUUUUUCAUAUAUAUAUGUAUAUAUAUAUAACUAACUCAAAAUAUUAGAUUAAAUUGUAUAAAAAACAUACAAUAUCAAGCGCAAAUAUGGCCCCAAAUAUCGUAUGAGUGAUAAUAUAUCAUGCAAAUUUUUAUAUAUUUUAUUAUUCAUAUAAUCCUUUUUUUUGGUUUGUUGUUGAGUUACUUUAAAACUUCAUUUUAGCUCCAAUAUAAUUCUAACCCCAAAUAAUCUGCAAUCUAGUUAGCUCAAUAAAACCGAAUGAUAAAAAUCUUUUUCAUUUUCCUCGUGAGUUUUAUAACUUGCUUUUUACUAUCUAUAUAUUAAUUCGUGCCAAACUUGGUUCACCUUUUUUUUUUCUUCUCUUUGCUUUUAUUUUUGUGAGCUAAGACCUGAUUUGGCAAUAAAUCAUAGUAUAUGCUACAAAUGCCAAAUGAAUACAGAAAAAUCUCAAUUUUAUCAAAAGAAAAUUGAAAAAGCAACUUGCCAAACUCAUUAAUAAUUUGCUCCCAAGCGAAUCAGUACCCUAAAAGAAUAUGCGAAAAGAACACAAGGACAUAAUCGUCAUUUCACCCAUUUCAGUUAAGACAGUUUUCCACCAAAGUCUCACUAUUCCAUUCAAAGAAGGGAUUUAAAAAUUAAAACAGCUCAUUUCCCAUUUAAUCACAUGAUUACUCCUUAAUCUCCCCAGUUCAAAUGCUCGCGAACCACUAAAACCGCCCCCAACCAAACCUUAUUUUUUCAUGACCGCCAUCCUGCUUGCGCCACGUGUAUAAAACAACCUGAUCACGAUGUAUGGAUCAUACGUGUCACCAUCUAAACCUUCCUUCCCAGAAAUCCCGUGCACCCGCACCCAAAGGCUAAAACCUUACGUCACCUUUUCUGUCUUUCUUCUCCAACUAUAUAUUACGCUUCUUUUUUUUUUUGUUUCUUCUUUCUGCUCUUAGAGCUCUUUUGGUUUUCCUCUGAAUUUAUUUGUACGUUUACUUAUUUAUUUUUACUGAAUAAUUCAGAAAAAGAGAAAUGUUGACGGAGAAACUUAUCCCGGAGAAGCUUCCAUCGUCGUCGGCGAUGUCAUCGAGUCACUCGCUCCGGUGCCACGGGGAAACGACGACGAGAAUGUUUGAAGAGUUGCCGACGGCGACAAUUGUCUCGUUGUCGAGACCGGACGCAGGGGAAAUUAGCCCAUUGCUUUUAUCAUACACCAUUGAAGUCCAAUACAAACAGGUCCAGACUCUUUUUUCGUUUCUUUUCCUCUUCUUUUUUUUUUUUUUGGUUUUUACGUUUUCUCCAAUCAGAAUAUAAUAUAUGUGAUGCAUUUAUGUGCAUGUUUGUAUGUGGCAUAUGUAUUUGAGGAAGUAGCUAUGUACGCAUGGCGCGAACGGCAUUUCACAUUUUUUUUUUAGAAUUUAAUACUAUAAUACGCAUAUGGCGGGGUCUCUUUUUUUUUUGGGGCUAUUUUUACUAUAUUUAUGCGAGGGGCAAUUUUUUUAUUGCUCUUCUUGUUGGUAUUGAAUAAGUUUGCAAAGGAUAUAAGAAGAAAUGUUGUUUUAUCUUUUUAUUUUAUUUUUUUUGUGUGUUGUUAAUGGAAAGAAUUUGAGUUUUUUCUCUUCUUCUUUUUUUACACCUUUGUUCCAAUGCAAAUAUUUGGUUGGUCGAUAAUUUACUUGGUUAUGUAUAAGCAGCUUGGUGGAAUUUAUACUUGAAUUAAAUCUAUAUUUAUUUCUUAUACACUAAUACUUAUUUAUCGGAAAUUGGGCUGCUAAUUGCUUGUUUGAUGCAUUCCAACAUUUUUCGACAAUUACAUAAUGUUCAUGUACAAUUAUGAGUAUGGAUAUUCCAUGCAUUUUUUCGGUUGUUGGUGUUAUUGUUGGGGGUAGGUAUACAUGGAGGAUGUGAUUAGUAUAAUAAAUCAUAGCAAUAUGAAAAUUCUCAAGUUCUUUUGAUUGUGGAACUUUUGUCACGAUGCAGAAGGUACAUUCUGAAUUUAAAUGAUGCUGAAAGUACUUUUGGAAAUUGUGAUAGAGUUCCUUUUGAACCUGAAGAUGUUUUUUAAGUUUUUUGAGACAAAAAGUGAAUCUUUCAAAUGUGUUGGUUAACAGUGACAAGGUGGCUUUUUUCAAUCCCGUCAGCACAUCAUGCUUGUGAAGGGAACUUCAGUUUGUAGAUUUUUAGGAUUUAAUGGAAAAAUAGCUUUGUUUUGAGAAGGAAUUGAUAAUUUUUUUAAAAAAAAUUCCAUUAAUGCAUUAAGGUCAUGGUGAAUGCCUGGAAUUGAAUAUUAGAGACAGAAAGGCAGGUGGAAGCAUGAGUGUUACGAAAUGUAUGAGAAGAUUCAGGACCAGAAAAAAAAAAUGUACUUGCAGUUACAGGAAUUUAUAUUUUCUUUCUUUUUUCUUUUUUGAGCAAGUCAAGGAAAUCAUGACUGCAACUCAUGUGAUGGAAAACACUAGCACAGUCUCUCUUCUCCAGACCAUUGAAUCUUAAACUGUUAUGUGCCUGUAGAGGCUAGAUAACUCAUUCUUUAAUCCUUACUGGAGCUUUUGAGCUGGGCUAUCCCCACUUCAGAUGUUCCAAACUAAGCUGAUUGGUUAGUGUUUUGCUAGUGUAUGUUAUAGUUUAGAAGAACCAGAAACUGAUCAUGCUAAGGUUGUCGGAUCUUUUUGUCUUUCAUGAGUUAACAUUUAACAACACACUCCUUGCUGAAGAAUAUUUUACUGCUUUUAACCACUUGGUAUAAUUUCUGAAUAAUGCUUUUGGUGUUAAACAUGUUAUCGUCAAAUUUCUUUACUCAGUAUAUGCUUCUAUCCUGUGAUAGCUUUUAUUUGAAGGAUGUUUUUCAUAUGCUUCUUAAUCAUAGUUGCUUUAGCAAUGAACUUCUCUCAUUUCCUUCUUUCCUUGCCUUCUCUCUCUCUCUCUCUAUGUGUACUGUGUGUCCGUCUCUGUUGUCUGUUUCUUUUGGCAGAAGGAAGACUUUAAAGUCUGUCUGUUUGGGUUUUACUGAUUUCAAUAGAGUUCAAAUUGCAUGCUGAUUAAAUGUACUUCAAUUGACAGUUUAAGUGGUCACUAUUGAAGAAGGCCUCAGAAGUUUUUUAUCUACACUUUGCACUGAAGAAGCGUGCCAUUAUUGAAGAGUUUCAUGAGAAGCAAGAGCAGGUUCUCUCUCUCUCUCUCUCUGCAUUAAAUCUAAGCACAGUUGCAAACAGAUAACUAUUUAUUGUUCUUAAUCUCUUACAGUGAUGGUACGUAUUAUAUAAUUUCCUUUUGUGGAUGAUGCCUAAAAUAUGCUAAGGUUUGUAUAUAAAUUUUGCACAAAAAGGUUAAGGAAUGGCUUCAAUACUUUGGAAUUGGAGAUCAUACAGCUGUAAUGCAUGAUGAUGAUGAAGCUGAUGACGGAGCUGUGCCUAUGUUCUCCAAUGAAAGUGUUAAAAACAGGUGAUUGCAAGGGUAUAAUCCUUUAGCUUUUCAAGUAGAAUGUUACACCUGAGUAAUUUGGGAUGUUUUAACUCCUAGAGUUGGUUUCCUGCAGAAAUGUUCCAUCCAGAGCUGCUUUGUCAAUCAUUCGUCCUGCAUUGAGCAGACAGCAGACUGUCUCAGAAAAAGCAAAAGUUGCAAUGCAAGGCUAUCUAGACCAUUUUUUCGGUAACUUGGACAUUGUCAAUACUAGAGAGGUGCAUAGAGAAUGUCCUUGUAUUGGUCUAUAUAUGAAGUAAACAGUUGAAGUUCUUAAUCUCUGAAUUAUUUGUUAUUUCCUCUUUAUUUAUGAGAUAGAUUCAGCUAUAUGUAUAGUUUUUGUUAAACUUUCUCUUCACAAUUAUAUGUACAAGAAGUAGUGUGAAAUUUCACUUUAGGACUGAAAGCUUUUGGUCAAAGUAUGGCUGUUCUCACUAACGUUACCAGGAGUAGGAAAUUAAACUUUGUAUGUUAUCUUGCCCAUUUCUUUAUCUGCGAUAUAUUCAAGCUACAAAUCAUGAAAGCUUCUCUUUUUGCAGUUUAUCAAAUAUCUGAAUAAAAUAAAGAAGACCCAAAACUAAGAUAAAUAGUUUGUGCUCCAAUAGUAAACCUGAAAGUAGCUGAAAUUUCCACUUAUACAUCAUAGUGACAGAGAUUUUAUGGUAUUUUAAUCUCUUUUUCCCCAAGGAUAUAUUUUGAAGAUAUUCUUAUUUCAUUUUCAUUUUAGCAGUUCUUUGUGUUUUAUUACUGAUAUAUUUUGAUAAUCAUGCAACUUAUCUUCUUAAUUCUAGGUUUGCAAGUUUUUGGAAGUUUCUAAAUUAUCAUUUUCACAAGAAUUUGGUCCUAAGCUAAGAGAAGAUUAUGUAAUGGUUAAGCAUUUGUCAAGGACGCCAAAGGAGGAAGCAUAUGCAAGGUGUUGCUUGUGUCAUUGGACUGGCUGUUGUAAUAGCAAGUGGCAGAAGGUAAAUGCUCUUGCUAGUAUUGGUAUAAGCAUGAAUAUGUGUAAACUAGUUAGGCAUAGUUUUUGUAGCAGUGGAGGUUCAAAGAGUACUCAUAUAGUCUUCUACAAAGUUAAUGAGCUAACAGUGGAUCUUUUUUAAGUUAAAUUGAUUCAGUUAGUGUUAUAUAAUCUUGAUGAAACAUUCAUCUGUUGCUGUGACUCUUUCUGCUGCUAGUAGUCCUCUGUCUGUGAUAUUUUUCCAAAGAAAGAAUCUUUUCCCAGUUUUUACCUAGUGGUUAUCAAAACUGGAGGUUCAAAUCAAUUCAGGCUAUAUGAGAUAUUUGCUGAAUCACGUCGUUUCCUCAACAAAACAAAUUUGAAAAUUUGUUUUGGAAAGCCAAAUAGUAUUGUCGAAUUACAUUGUUUCCAAGGGUAUGGAUAUUUUUAUUUGUAAUUCUUGUUGCGGCUACUGGUUUAUGUUCAAAGACUAAUAUACUUGAGUGAUGUCCUCUCAUUUUGGAUUCAAUGACCUGUAGCUGAUAUUCAGAUAUUGUAUUAACUAUGCUCUUCUCUAAAAGGAAAUACCAUAUGGAGAUAUUUUUCUUAUGGUUGAUAAACAAAGACAGAAUUUGUUAAUUUGUGACUUUAGAUUUUUAUGAUGGAAAUAUUUGUCCGUGCUCAUAACUUUUUCAUCUUAUUCAUCUGUUGGUCACAGUUACUUAUGCUGCCAUUAUUCUAUGCUCACUAUUAUUUGUAAAGCUGAUAGUAUCUCACUAAAAUUCAGAUUUUUGUGUUCUGUCAUGAUUCUUUUUUAUUUCACUCUGUGGUGGAUGGAUAUACAUAUGAGCAGGAUUGGGUUUGAAAACAUAGGCAUUUGAAGGUAAUUUUCAGGUUUGGAUUUGAUCAUGUCAUUAUUGAAUUUACUGUUGACUGAAUGGAUCAACGAAUCUUCAAUUAAGUGCCUUGAAUUGUUGUUUCAAUAAUGUCUCCUACUUUCUGGGCUUUAAUUUUCAGAUUGUUUAUUUUAUUGCAUGACAAAAGACAAUCUACUUACAGGUUUGGGCUGUCUUAAAGCCUGGAUUCUUGGCUUUGCUGAAGGAUCCCUUUGACACGAGCCCAUUGGAUAUAGUUGUCUUUGAUGUACUUCCAGCUUCAAGCUUAGAUGGAAAGGAUGGAUCAUGUUUGGCUGAAGAGAUAAAGAAACGAAACCCAUUGCAUUACACGUUUAAGGUACAAAUGAUGGUUUAGUUUCAAGACAUGAAAUAUUCUGUGAACUUAUACUCUAGCUUGUUCUGUCAUCAUGCUAACUAGCCUUCUUUAUAUUCGAAGUAUGUUAGACUAGAUUGCUCUUGCUAUGCUCUUGAUGUGCUUGGUAUAAGAUAAUCAUGCAUUUUUGAAUUGCAAUUAUAUAAUAAGAAAGUAUUUAUUAUUCUUUGCCACACAAUAUACACUAACUUAGGUUUUUUUUUGGAUCUCUUAUGCCUCAAUUUUAUUGUGUAAAUCAUGACAUUAGAAAGGGCCUCCUUAAGGGAAUUUGUUAGCAUUAGAAAUCAAACAAAAUUUUUUUUCCCAAAUAGUUUUCAUGCCUGUCAACUUUACUUACAGGCUUUUAACUUUUUAUCAUCAUUGUAAUGGACAAAGGUUUCCUGUGGAAGUCGUAGAGUUGACUUAAGAAGCACGAGUUAUGCUAAAGUCAGAAAUUGGGUUUCAGCAAUAAAUAAUGCUGGUCUUAGUCCUCCUGAAGGUUGGUGCCAUUAUCACCGUUUUGAUUCGUUUGCUCCUCAAAGGGGCUUGACUGAGGAUGGGACUCAAGCUCAAUGGUUUAUAGAUGGAAAAGCUGCAUUUGAAGCAAUUGCUUCAUCCAUAGAGAAAGCAAAAUCCGAGGUUUAAUAUUCAUCUUGCUAUAUGACAUUCUGGCUUCAAUUUGUGCCAAUUUUAACCGCUAAGACCUAAAGUGACGCGAAGUUGCCUACAGAUAUAUAUUACUGGAUGGUGGCUUUGCCCUGAACUGUACUUAAGACGUCCCUUCCACGAACACUGCUCUUCUCGCCUUGACAAGCUGCUUGAAGUCAAAGCAAAGGAAGGGGUUCAGGUGAAAAUAGAAGACCAACUUUUUUUACUUUCUCUAUUUACAUGAUAAACUAUGCAUUUGAAAAAUUUAAGAUUGCAACUAAAGGAAGUGCUUCAUAUGAAGGGUAGCUUUGUAGUUUAGAGGCAUGAGGUUUUUGUUAGAGCAUAAGAAGUAUCUGAGUGCUGUGGUACGAGCUUAUACAAUUGCAGGUUCUUUUGAAUACUGAUGACAUCAUCCUGCAGACCUAAUUGUAAACUAUCUGGGUAAAUAAUCUUUAGUAUUCUUAUGAAAAAUACUUAGAGAAGAAGUUGAUCAAGUAAGAGUUUUCGGUAUCUAAUUUCACUACUUGCCUUAGUUCUCUGUAGUUGCAGAAUAGGUAGCCCUCCUCAAUAUAUAUGGUCAUGCAUCUGUGAUUCAGAGAAUUAAAAGUCCUUUUUUCCUUUAGGGAUUGAAAUCUAAUAACAAUGAUUGUGGACCCAUUACUCUUAAUUUCAACUAAAUGUGUAUCUUGAUAGCUACACUAAACAAAGGAAAUUUACCAAUUGGACUAUAUUUGCAUGUUAUUUUGUAUUCUCUUGACUUUGAAUAAGUCAGAUAAAUGUAACAUAGCAUUCAGCCCAGCCUACAUGAGGUAUGCUAUGUGGAUCCUUUUGUACAAUCAAAUUUAGCAACAGCCAUGCUCUUGUCUUAAGUCAGGAGCACCUUUUUCUUCUCAAUGACUAUUUAGUCUUUCACCUUCUUACUACUCUAUAGCUCAUCCAUCAACAUGUCAAGCAGCUCAACUUUUGAUACUUGUAAGGAUGUCAUCCUCAUGUUUGAGAGCUGCAUUAAAAUGAAAUUAUCUAGAAGCCUUUCUCCUUGGGUGAGGAGAUAUGAAAGAUGUAUCUUUUUAUUUUUUAGUAUUUUUAACGCAUAUACCAUCAAUGGCCACAAGUACUUGGUAUUCAUGAAUUUGUAUAUUUUGUGCUUUUGCAGAUUUACAUUCUUCUCUACAAGGAGGUUUCUGUAGCUUUAAAAAUUAACAGCUCGUAUAGUAAAAGGAAGCUUCUUAGCAUCCAUGAGAAUAUCAAAGUUCUCCGCUACCCUAACCGUUUUCCAACUGGUGUUUACUUAUGGUAUGCAACUACUUGAGCAGUAAACUGAAAAUUUUCGUGUGAUUUGACUUCAAAUGUCCAUAUUGCAGCUGUUGCAGAUUUUUUUUAUUUUUUGGUCAUUAAAGCUUUCCAGUAUUAUCCUUUUCCCCCUUUUCAUGUGAACUCAUUCAAUGCCUUGUAAAUAAUCAGGUCACACCAUGAAAAGCUGGUUAUUGUAGAUCACUAUAUUUGUUUUCUUGGAGGACUGGAUUUAUGCUUUGGGCGUUAUGAUACGAAUGAACAUAAAGUGGGAGACUACCCCCCUUUUGUAUGGCCUGGAAAGGACUACUACAAUCCCAGGUAAAAAUCUUGUACUUCUUUACUCAGCCAACUGGUACUCUAGAAUUUCUGUGAGCAUGCCAACCUUUUAACUUGUCAAUUGAUGGUAGUUAGUGACAGAUGAGAUUCAUGUGGACUUCUAUUUUAGAAGAGAUUGACGUAGAGCUGGAAGUUGAUCUGUAGCUCAUAGAUGAUUUAUUAUCAGCUGAAUGGAUGCAUUUGAGCAAUAGUUAUGCAUUUAUGGCAUAUGGUUGACUGAUUAUCAGGAAUCAGGAAUCAUUAUUGAUGCAUAUAUAUAUAUAUGAUUGAGUCAACCUAGCGAAAUGUCUAGAAAUGGUUGAACUAUGAUAUUACUUAUUAUAGAAAAGCACUUGGCAACAUACUUACCUUGAUCUCUUGAUGCCAAAAAUGUGUCAGGAAUGGAAUUGUGUACUCUCACGUUACAUCAGUUUGUUCAUAAUAUUACCUAGGAUGACUUAAUUUAACUUAGUUAAAAAACAAAAACAAUGACUUCUUCUUGGAAUGGCCACUUUUUCAAAAUAUGUUGUAGAAGUGUGCAAUAUCACUCGUCACUAAUUUAGAUUCCAUUUUCACAAACUCUUGAAAGCUAGUGUGCUGUUUUCAGUAUUUAUGCAUUCAAGUGUACUUUUGUCCUCUUAAUUCUUCACAAAUUUCAUAUGAACCUUGUCUAUCAGUUCUAAGGUUUGCUAUCAGCUUCCUUUUUAACAAUUACUAUUCAUUCAGGGAAUCUGAACCAAAUUCUUGGGAAGACACCAUGAAAGACGAGCUUGAGAGAAGAAAGUACCCUCGAAUGCCUUGGCAUGAUGUCCAUUGUGCUCUAUGGGGACCACCAUGUCGAGAUGUAGCCAGGCACUUUGUUCAGCGUUGGAACCAUGCUAAGGUUUACAUCUACAUCUACUAUGCAUUCUAUGUAAAAAAUUUCAAUUGCUCAUGCAUUGAUUAUCCAUCCAGAGGAACACAGCUCCAGAUGAACAACAAAUACCACUUCUUAUGCCUCAGCAGCAUAUGGUUCUUCCACAUUACAUGGGAAGGAGUGAGGAGAUAGAGAUAAAAGAUAAGGCUACUCCAGUGAAUAAUAAUUACUUAGACAGACAGGAUUCAUUUUCUUCACAGUCCCCUUUAGAAGAUGUCCCAUUGCUAUUGCCCCAGGAAGCUAAUGGCCCUGACUUUUCCAGCUUAGAUGACAGAUUAAGUGUGCCAGCUUCCGAUCAAUACCAACCGAAUCAGCAUGAGGCCAAAGAAGGUUUUAUAUUCGCCUUCCAUAAAUUCACAGUUGGAUCUUCUGUAUCAGACCUUAAAUUGAAAGUCGUUUGAGACGAAUUUUGAUCACAUACUUUUAACCUGAAACAGAAAAGGAUGAAGCUGGAGCAUCUGACUUGGAAAAUUCAGAUGACUGGUGGGAAAGACAAGAGCGAGUUUGUCAGGUUGUUUCACCUGAUGAAGCAACUCAAGUGGGUCCUCGUACUACAUGUUACUGUCAGGUUAGAUGUAGUCCCCAUUAAAAUUCAAUUACAUGUUUCUUUUACUGUAUUAACCGCAAAAUUGAUCUCCUUUUCCUUUUGACUUCCAGAUUUUUAUAGUAUUGUUUGAAGUUAACUAUUUUUAAACUUACAAUAUGUAAGAAAAGAAACUCUAUAUAAAAUAUGUAAAAGAAUUAGUGGUUUCAGAAACAGAGUUCUUGACUAAGAAUAAGGUUCUGUAUCAGAAACAAGUUGCUCUUAAUUUUCAAAUUUCAACUGUUUAACCAUUUUUGUGUUCAGAUUCUGAAUUGAACCACCAUUUCAGAUCUGAAAGCCUUGUGAGAAGAGAAAGUAAACUACAGGGUAGAGGAAUAUUUUACAGAAUGAGAAAUUGGGCAUGAAACACAAUGCUGUUUCUUUCCAACUUCAGGAAAUGGCUCCUAUAUCAAAAAGUUUAACAUCUUGUCGUAUAACUGUUUCUAGUCUUGUUACACUUUUGCUUUCUGGAAUGUUAUGUGCUGAAUUUGAGCUCACUCGUGGUUUUCAUUCUGAUAAAUUGUAGAUCAUUAGAAGCGUAAGCAAUUGGUCUGCUGGAAUAAGUAGAACUGAAGACAGCAUUCACAGAGCUUAUUGUUCUAUGAUAGAGAAGGCGGAACACUUCAUUUACAUAGAGGUGAAAUCAACUAUCUGAAUUACUAUAAAAGUGGUUAUAUGCUGCUGUAUCUGAGUCAGUUUUGGAGAAAUGACCAACAUAUCUUGGUCUGGCUUCAAUCAUUAACAUAUCAAUGGCAAAAAUAGCGACAAUAUGGAUAAUAAAUUGGACUUUUAAGUUUUUUAAUUCUUUGCAAAAGCGUCUUCCAUGUAUUCCUAUUAGACAGUUUUCUUGGAUUAGGAGUUACAGAAAAAAAGCUUGAUGUUUUAAAUAUCGGGCAUUGGAGUUAAUGAACUGUCCAAAAGCAACUAAAUAUUGAUUAACUUCAUGAGGCAAAAUCCUCGUUGUGUCAAAUGCAGAGAUCAGUAAUAAGACCUUUGUGAUCAAGAAAUGCUCUGAGACGCUCUGAGACACUGGAUAAAUUUAGUUGAUCUAGCACAGGGAUUCAUCUUAGGUUCUGACAUUAGCACACUGAUUUGUGAUGAAAUAUUUUUGAACUCAGAUGUGAUGUCUUCUCUUUAUGGUUAACUCUUUCUUCAUAAAAGCUUCUGGCAAUUAGAAACCAUGUAUACUUGUCAAGGAGGUGCAUAGAUAAGUGAGAUUAUGGAAAUACUUGCAGUGUGGAAAGUUUGUAUGUUGUUAGCUGAUACAGGGUCCGUUCAUCCCAUUCAGAUUUCUGAGGCUUCUUAAAGAAGGCUAAUUGUAUAUGUUUUCUGAGAAUGUUAAGGGAACUUUCAACUUGAAAUCUAUCCUGAAAAUGCACCUUUAGAGUUUUUUAAUGAAUUAGAUAUUUUCAAAUUCUCAUUCGGCACAAGUACUUAAAGGUGGUGUCAGAAACAGGUGCAUCUCCGCAGAUAUUUUUGCUUUAUUUGUUUAAGAAAAUAUAGCAUGCCGUGACAGUAAGAAAGUGAGUGCAGGCAGUUAAAUGUUUUUAUGGCUAAAACUCUCCGGAAGUGAAAACCUUCAGUGGCCAAAAUCUCUAAAGGACCAGUUCUUUAAAUCAGUAGAGAGAAAUUUGUAUUGAGUCAGUAAAACAAGCAUAUUGGUCCUUGAGAAAGAAGACAAACUAACCAGAGGACCCAAGAAAGUAAUAUAAUCUUGUAAGUUAAUUCAUAAGCAUGUAGCUUGGCUUGUGCUAGUUUCCUUGCCUAGAUUGGUCAUUAAUUUUUUAAUUUCUUGUCAUUUACACGAGUGGUGGAAAGAAAAAAUGUAAAUGAAUCUAAUUAUGUCUGUCAUUUGUGGGAUUCUGCUUUUAGAAUCAGUUUUUCAUAUCAGGUCUUUCGGGUGAUGAUACCAUUCAGAACCGUGUAUUGGAUGCUCUGUACAAGCGUAUACUCCAAGCACACAAAGAACGUCAGUGUUUCAGGGUUAUAGUUGUUAUUCCUCUCUUACCGGGCUUCCAGGUAGGGCUGAUUUUCAUUCCACAAGAUAACAUAACUCUGUAUUGUUGCCUCUUACGGCUAUUUGUCAUGUAUCAGGGAGGUCUGGAUGAUGGUGGUGCUGCAACCGUACGAGCCAUCAUUCAUUGGCAGUAUCGAACAAUUUCCAGACCAAAAAACUCGAUAUUAGACAACCUUUAUUCUUUGCUGGGUGAUGAAACAGAUAACUAUUUAUCUUUUUAUGGUUUAAGGAACCAUGGCAAGCUUUCUGAUGGUGGUCCAGUGGUCACAAGUCAGGUAAUAUCUUGCAUACAGAUUUUCAACUGAUUAAUGUAUUAUGCUUCCUUGAGUGGGAUUGCAUACUUAAAGAUCUACAUACUUUAGCAUUUCAUCACAUCCUGACGGAAUACCUUGCUUUUGAUCCUUUAGCACCACAGCCACACCAUGCCAAGCAAAUACACUCAACUAUUGGUACUCUAUGGAGUUUUUCCUGUCUGUCUUCUUAGUAAUUCUCUAUGUUAGUGGUAUUUUUUUCCUUUCUCGUUGUCUUGCACACUCCCAGGACAUUAAGUAAACUGCCUUGAUCCACAGUUUAGGAGUGCCCUAGAUAAUCCUAGCACAGUACUCUUCUGGUUCUCUUACUUUAAUAACGUCAGUCCUUGAUCUAGUACUUAACAAAACAACUAAUCUAGGAAGUUAGCCCAUCAACACAUUCAGACUUGCGACAUACUCUAGCACAAAUUACUUCCAGUACUCCACUGGUGAAGUCUUCAUAAGGGAUGAAAUAUUACGCUAGGAGUGAAUAAUUGUUUUUGUCAAAAAUUGCUUGUCCAGAUUAUUCCCAGAUGAAAUUAAUGGUUUAACACUGGAUUGUUGGCUAUUAAUUAUUCUCUUUAAUCAACUCUAUAUCAUUUUCCUUCUAGGUGUAUGUCCACAGUAAAUUGAUGAUUAUAGAUGAUUGCAUAGCCCUGAUUGGAUCAGCAAACAUUAAUGACAGAAGUCUACUUGGGUCAAGAGACUCUGAGGUGAGCACAUUCUGUUUUGGACAGACUUGCAGAAUGAAAGUUCUAUCAUUUCAUGUGUCAUAGAUACCAUAAAAUUCUGCUACUACUUAUGAAUGAAAUUAUUCUUCCUGUAUUAAUGAAAUUUAUAUGGGCAUGUGCAAGAUACUGUGAAAUUACUUUUGGCAAGUUUCUGACAGUUGGACAUGAAUACUCACAACAACAAAGUUCUUCUGUAAAUGCUGUUAAGAUUGAAAGCUAAACAGCUAGUUUUGGCAUGCUACUGCAUACUAAUUUUAGUUUUAUAUUCAGUUGCCUUGAGACAUGAAAUCAGUUGAUUUGAUUGGUUCAUUGGUUUGGUAAUAUGUCACUAAGAUAACGUUUAUGCAUGUUUAAGAAAUUGCUUUAGCACCAAACAAUCUUCUAUGAUAUCAAACCAGUGCUUAAUUUUUUCAAUUUGAAUGUAUCUUGUGUAGUUGGUUUUUCACCUUACCCUGUAGACUCCCUAUCUCUGCCAGAACUCAAAAAUGCAAAAUGUAUGAUAUUUUCUUGUUCUAGGUUGUCCAUAAGUUUCACUGGAUAAAGAAACUGCAGCUUAUCUAUCAGCAUUCUCCUGAACCCAAUCAUCUCUACAAGUCCACUUGCUGAACUCCUUUGCCUAUACUUAGUGCAAGUAAAAAUGAUAAUUUUCACACUGACGUUCUUUUCUUAGAUUGGCAUGCUCAUUGAAGAUAAAACUUUAGUGGAAUCAUCAAUGAAUGGGAACUCAUGGAAGGCGGGAGAAUUUUCUUUCAACCUACGGAUCUCUUUGUGGGCGGAGCAUCUAGGCCUGUGCUCUGGGGAGGUUAGUGCUAUUGACUGUUGACAAUUUAACUUUGCACGCUAGUUCAGAUUUUAGAAUUUUUCUUUUUAAAAACCUCGCGAUAAUUCUUACGGCUGUUCUAUAAGCUUAAAUCAACUUUACCAAAAGAUAUUUACAUGCAUCAUCCAUCUUUUGAUGUUUGCCAGAUUGAUAAAAUCAGAGAUCCGAUAAUUGACAGUACAUACAAGGAUUUGUGGAUGGCAACUGCAAGGGUGAGAAUAUUUUGCCAUUAAAUGAUAGCUUUUCGGUGUCAAGUACUCAUACAUUGUCUACUUGACAGUAAAAGUGUUUUUGUCCCUUCUGAAUAUAGGGUGCUGAACAGUUGAACAUACAGCAUAAUGAUUCUCCGUCUUACUCACAAACUUUUGAGUCGCUGCUGAAUAUAGGGUUUAGAGCAAUUGAAAGCAUGGUAACAUAAUUCUACACACUAGUAUCAAAAUUGUGUCAAUAUCCUGCCUUUUUCCUUGGCAUUGAGAGGAAAAGCAGUCCACAAAGCUUCAUAUAGCUAUAUGGUCAUGGAAGGGGUUAUAAUCUGCAUGUCACACGGUUUAGCUUUCUCAACUGCCAAUAAUCAUCUUAUCCACUACGUGUUCUUGGAGCUUUGAAAUCUUUGACAAGAUCAUAUCUCAAAUAUGAACCACAAACAUUGAGUUAAUUUUCAAUGCCUAAAUCUAUUUGCCAAAAAAUGUUGAUGUCCCAGACCAACUAGGGAGAGGAUUCAACAGAUUGAGCAUCACACAAAAAAUGUAAGGUGUGGUGAUGCUUCAGAAUUUUAUUCCACAAAGUUUAGGGGAAAAAAAUGAAAAGAUCCUUGGGUACAGAAGCAGAUUGUAGAAGCUUGAUUAACUUUUGAUAUUUUAAGCCACAGAAUUCUUAAGUUAUGCCUUUCCCUUUUAAAUAGAAACUUGAUUUCUCUUCACCUUCCAAAGAAGCAACUAAUGAUGUUCUUUUUAACAGUCAAAUGCCAGGAUCUACCAAGAUGUAUUCGCUUGCAUCCCAAAUGACGUUAUCCACUCAAGGUAAAAAAGGGUUCUGUGUCUAUAUUCUUGCUUUUCUCUUUUUCCUUUGUUUUGUUGUCUUCACUCGCUUGGAUGGUUUCUCACAUAUACAACUGACAUGGUCCAAAAUGCAGGUCUGCUUUUAGACAAGCUAUGAGUAACUCAAGGGAGAAAGUUGGGCAUACUACCAUAGAUUUAGGAGUAGCCCCUGAGAAGGUAGAACAUUUUGAGAAUGGGGAAGUAAUUCUUAUGGAUCCAACUAGAAAGUUGGAGUCAGUAAGAGGAUUUCUGGUUUCCUUUCCCUUGGAGUUCAUGUGUCAAGAAAAAGAUUUGAGACCAAUGUUUAUUGAGAGCGAGUUUUAUACAUCCCCUCAGGUCUUUUAUUGAGAUAGCAUCAUAAAAGAAGAAAAACGCACUGUACAGGAAGUGUAUAUAAUGCAGAAAUGAGGAUAGUUAGAUGUGUGAUUUUGUUGAUUAUGAUUUUUUUUUCAUUUUGAUAUUAUUUGUCUACAUAUGUAACAUCAAUAGCAACAUUGUAAAUCAUUCUUUGAAACUUUUAAAUAAAUAUUCGAUGUGAAAUCAAGGUUAAAAAUCAUUUUGAUCUUUCUAAUUCAUUUCUUCACAUUUAAUAGUAAAUAUAAAUUUAUAACCAUCAUACUGGUUUUUAUUUUUUGGUAAACAACUUAGAAUAUGUUUAAAAAAAAUUCACGUAAACUUAAAAUAACCAAAUUAUCAUUUUAUUAUACAAAUGAGAUCUGUAGUUCUCAAAUUAUAGUAUAGAUGCAUAUAAUAUUGACAUGUAAUUAUAAUGUGUGUGUAUAUAUAAUUAAAUAUAAAUAUUUACAUUUUUUAAUUUAUUUUAGUGGUGGGGGAUUGAGGACGGGGCGUCCUUCCUUCCCUUGCCCUAUCUAAAACGGAAAGAGAAUCCCCUUAAUUUGAACCUUCAGUCCACCCAAUUAUUCCGUUCAAUUAUUUUACCUACAUCUCUCCCUCCCCCUCCCCUCGAUUACCAUCCCUAGUUGUCACUGGCGAAGUCAAAUGUAGUUGAGGGUAGACAAUUAUCUCCCUCCACCUCAAAUUUGAGAAAGUUUUAUUUUAGACAUAAAGCUUGAAAAUUUUUAAGUUGCUCCUUUAUUUGCCCCCUAAGAUAUUUAAAAUUCUCAUUCUUAUCAACUUUGCCCCCCAAUGUUUUUGAAAUUCUCUUUCUUAUCUGUAUUGUCCACUCUAAAAUUUUUUAAUCCCUCUUUUUUAUUUACAUUGACCUCCUUAAUAAAUUAAAAAUUCUUAAUCCUUACACUUCGCUAUAGUGCUGGAUCUAAUUAAGAUUAGUUAUUGAUGUAACUUCAAGAACAAACUCUUUUUACGUUUUCAAACUACCAUUACAUUAUUACACAAUUUAGAUGUCAAAAUAUAAUUGACAAAAUGGAAAAAAGUAUGUUUAACAUAAGCAUCUUUUGAUUGCAAAUUUACUAUGAUCAUAUUUGAUGUAGUGUCGAAUAUUGAACUCCCUAACCCUAGGGUUCUGACUCCACCACUACUAGCUGCUAAGUUAGUUCAGCUAUGGAUUAGGUGGAUUUGGGGACCGUCCCUGCACGGUUAAGGGCCAAGAUUUGCCCUCAAAAUUUUGUGCGGCUGAGAUUACACCAUGUAACUCGAUUUCCGCGCCAAGUGUGGGGCCCACCACUAUCUGUUGUGAAAAUACAUCCUGUGAAAAAAAAGUUACAUGAUGUACAAAGAAAGUUACGCGCAGUUGAUAAUGACUAAAAUUGCUCUGGACGGUUGCACCUGCAACCGUCCGUGCCCCGAGUCCGGAUUAGGUCGACCAAAACUAAGGCCACACAGCGAAGGACUCAAAGAUUCAAUUUUGCUUUUACCAUGUUUUCUUUUCCAUCCUCAUCAUUCUUACCUCUAACUACUAGACUCAAGAUUCGAACCUAAAACUUGCACCGGAGCGAGGUCAUAAGGAGCCAAACGGAGGAUUCACUUACUAGUGGGAAAGGAAAACAAAUUUUUUCCGUUCAUAAAACCAUUCAACACAUCUGCAAUGAAACAUUUUGUCUUUUUGUGAGAAUACUAUGAUUGACCUAACCAUCAUACGUCUUCCCUUUGAAAUAUUUCUUUCCUCACUGAACCCAUACGUCUUUAUGUGAUUAUCCAGGGAUCUUUAUUAUCUGAUAAUUGAGUAAUGCAUCCCUGCGAGAUAAAAUGAAGUAUUAAUUAUCAGAAAGCAUACUAGCAAUAUGGACGGAGAGGUCCUAUGGUGGAAUGUUAAAAUACAGAAUUUCCUGCUUAUUAGCAUCUGAAGUCUGAACGUUAAAUCAGUCGUAAAAUUGUCGGCAAGCACAAGUACGUAACAGUACAGUGUCCUUUGGCGGAGUGAGAGUGGAAUUACAUUCUGGUUUCAUUAGCUAAUCACGUGACUACUUUAUGCUUUUUUUUUUCCCAAAUUUUUCUACUCGAAUUAGGGCCAAAAACAAGGCUCAACGAGUCAGACAAAAGUAUGUUCAAGAUUGGCUUGAAGAUUAAAAGAAAUGUUUGAACUUGGCUUUUGUUUGAAAAUUUUUUGAGAGAAACUGAUCGAGUUUGGUUUGAAAUUUCAGACGUAUAUUCACAGAAAAUUUGGUUUGACUCGUCAAAAUAUCGAAUUCAAGUACAUACAAUCAAAGUUUGGCUUGACUUGAAAUUUCAUGUUGUAUAAUAUAGAGAUUUUCACCCUAAUUUAUGGUUUUUUCCCCUUAAUUUUUGCUCUGUGAUAUUCAAGAAAUCUAUUAUGAUGAAUUAGAGAUGUAAUUAAAGUCAAUUAUGCCUAUUCAAGAGACAAAAGUAUUAUAUGCUUGCUAUUGUAGAAGAUAAGCAAUAUACGGGAAGGAAAGAAGUGAAAUUAAGAAAGGAAACCAUAGGUAUAUUUUUAUGAAAUUUACCGGCCUUAUACAUUCUUAAACAUAUCGAGCCAAAUAAUAUGAAGAUCGUGAUUAGUUUGUUAAUAUUUUCAAACUUGAAAUCAUGUUCAAACUUGGAUUGAUACCUAAAUAAACAAGCUUGAAUGAACCUGGUUCAAACCGAGUUCAAGUCAAGUACCAAAUUGUUUGAUUCAAUUUACAGCCCUUACUCGAAUUGAGUUUUAAAAAGCCUACAAGAAAGGAAAGCUUUUGCCAAUUUCAGAGAUGCCAUAUUCUUGGGUAUAAUCUGUGAAAAUGGUAACAAAAACUGAAAUGAUUUCUUUUACCUUUGUCAUAACUUGUAAUUGAGGUGCCAAAUAAUUAAGAUAAUCAACCUAGUUCAUCCUCUCUCCACUUGUAAACACAUCUUGUCCAAAAGAGAGAUUAAUAUUUGCCUGCGUGUGGUUCAUGUCGACCAAUAAAGAUAGGUCUGAAAUCAAAUCAGCAGAUCUCAAUUUAGUUCUAAAGUUCUCCCUUUUCUCCUUCUUCUUUCUUGUUUAAUUAGGCUGCUGCAUCAUUAAUCAUCUAUGGAUUUUCAGCCAGAGAGAGUGAGAGAGGCCAAAAGUACAAAGAAAGAUAAACGAGCAAUAUUUUCACUCUUCUCGAAUGCUAUUUGGAUGAAUAUACAGGAUAGAUUUGCUGACAAAGAUCAGAAUUAUGGAAGUAGAGAACUAUAGCAGAAAUAUCAUCCAUGGCAAUACCCCUUCUCUUGCGUCUCCAUGCAUGGGCAGCACAUUCAACUAGACGUUUGGCUGAUUUUGCCCUGUCUGGAGUUGAUGCUACAAUUUGCACUGCUUCUUGGUUGGAAACCACAUCCCA